This 82709-nucleotide long non-coding RNA is filed under the name Ananas comosus (pineapple). RNAcentral's name for it is "long non-coding RNA (ACOM_LNC004945)". Lineage: Eukaryota; Viridiplantae; Streptophyta; Magnoliopsida; Poales; Bromeliaceae. The record is from RNAcentral.
UUAGAUAGAAUUGCUUUUGCGUUCUCCGGUGGGGCCGGAGAAAAUAUAUCAUAACCGACUCAUCGCGAUAUGUGGAACGCAAUAUUACGUAUGAAAAUAAACAUAGUAUUUUUUCAUCGUACUUUCUCGCCACAUGUAACUCAUAUGUAUAAAUUGGUCAUUCAUAACUCAUUGUUUAUCUCUCUAUUAAUAAUCAUAUACUAUUAGACUCGAUAAGACUUAUCGUCUCUAGACGGAUCUUUCAUCUGAAACUAUUAUAUAUAAUUCUCAUUAUACGAAUUUUACUAAUUUUUUAGGUAUAACCACAAGAAUGAUAUGAGAGGAGACAACAACAAUAUUAGAUAGUAGCAUAUUGUUAUCGUCUCUAUUUUUGUAUUAUAUGAAUCUUGUCCUUGUAUACUGAAUUAUCAUUUUGAACAUAUAAUAGACCAUAUUAGAACUAAAAAUUAUAUUAACUUGCUACGUAUUAAGUUGAGAGUUCAAACUUGUUUAAAUUAUUAACUUAUGUUAACAUACAAUAGUUUGCGGUUGUUAAAUUGUAUGUUAAAUUUGAAAGCUUCGAAUAUGUGAGUUGUCUUGGUAAAAGUAUAAGUUGCACAGGAUUGCUUAAUAUUCAAUGAUGGUCAUACUUCAGAUUCCAAUCUUAAGAUGUGGCAGGUCUGCAGCAAGUGUACCCCCCCUGGUGUUUCUGCUGCUGGGGCAUUGCAUAAUAGAUGAGAUUGUUUGGAAUGGAGUUGUUUUAGAUUUCAAGAAUCCGGGCAAUUUUCGAAAAACAUACCCAAAAAAACUCCCUCUUUUCACCAAAGUAGAAUAAAAGAAAAAAAAAAGAAAAGAAAAGAAAAGAAAAGAAUGCAACAGUAAAGAAACACCACAUUGUGCUAUAUCUAGGCCACUAAGAAAAUGCAGAAAAAUCUACAUAAAGCUAGCUAUAUGGCUCUAGAUAAUAUGAUUUCCCUUCAAAGCAAUUCAAAGAGAUCAUAAGAGUUUGACUCACCUUGCUCAAAUGGAAUGUCUUUCACUGCAGAGCCUGAUGCCACUUGCAUUAUUAAAUAGACAAAUAAGUACCUGAGUAUGAGUCAAAAGAAACUUUCUAAUAUUUGAUUUCAUCUAAUAUUGCAUUAAAAUUAUUCUGCUCGAUUCUCGCACAUGAUAUUCUAACGAAAUACAGCUAAAAUUUCCACUCUCUGAAGCUGUAAGAAAGAUUGAAUGAAGUCUAAAAUUUAUAGAAAAGAGUUAUAAGACAGGCACUUCUAUCCAUCCAAAGAAAACUCAUGAAGCAGCAAUGCAAUCCGAAAGAAAGAACUCACUCGAAACCCCAAAAACUGUUAAGUUGGUUGUUCUGAAGAAGUCGAUAUUUGACGAUCACAAACUCCCUACGAAAAUAAGUUUGAUAUUUUGUUCAAACAGAGAAAAUAAAAACAAAAAUUGAGGCAUGGACAGGCAAGAAUGAAUAUGAACUUAUCAUCGACAGUGCAAUAUACGCAAACAAGGUAGUAGUCAUGGACAUUUAUUUAAUUAUAGUUCACACUGUACAUGACCAGAAGGCCACUUUGUCCAGAAAUACAUAGAUCUGGUAGCAAACCACAAACAUACUAUAGCAUAAGGUCUUUAUGUAUAUAUAUAUUGCUUAAACACACUGCAUCCCCUUAACUUGAAGUUACCAAGUCCAUCACCAUGGUUCUAAUGACACGGAACAGGAGACCAAUCGCACAAAUUAUUGAUUGUUGGCCGGCGGUGCGAAUUGUCAACAGAUAUGCUAGAAGGACGAAAGUCGGUUGCAUUUCCAUUGUUAUUUGCUGCAUCGCCGUUCGUACUAUUGCUCCCAUUGCUUGUGGCUUCUUGUACAUGGCUAGUCGCUGAAUCCACCGGGUUCUUUUCCGUAUUCCUCACAAGACUCUUGAUAUCUAACUUGUUUUCUGCAUCAUCCUUGCUAUUAACACGGAAGUGAAGAUACUUACGUGGCAGUGCAUGUUCAUUGGUCUUUACUCCUCGAAGAGUAAAGACCAAUGCAUCCUCCUGAGCUCCUAUGCCAUCUGCAGGAGCUUUCUGGAAGAUCAUCAUCAAAGCAAAUAUGGUGAGAAGUGUCGGUGAGGUCUUCAUGGAUAUGCUGCAGAUACAUAGUUAAAACAAACAUUUAUCAGUUAUCCGAUUUGAGAAUUUUGAGUCUAUACUGCAUGUAACAUAUGAUGAUUAAAUUUUAGACUAAAUUAGUAGAACAAAAACCCACCUUCGGACUUUUCCUCAAACAAGUAUGAGUUAAUGAAUAUCAGUGAGCGCUACCUAUAUAUAGCUUCAAUGUCAAGCCCAUCUGACCAAGGUAAAUCGAGAAAAACAUCAUGCUCCUGGUGGUUGAUUGUGCUCGCGCAUGUUUGAUAAGAACCCUAGUGUGCACAAGAUGAUAAUUAUUAACACGCGCGCACCUACAACAUAGUGGAGAAUAAUAAUCUUGUCCCCAAAUAAUGAAAGUUGAUUUUCAUCAGUAAAUUAUUAAAUAAUUUUAUUCAGUUAAUAGUUUGUGAAAAUUGUCAUAUUGCGAAAGUAUUUUUUUUUCAGCAUAUUGUAAGACCUGAUACAAAACUAGUCAUGAAGAAGUAGAACAUGUCAUACAAUACAACAACAAUACAAAUGUAUACAUAACAAGUCAAUCCUAUGUUUGUUUGGACUCUACGAGUGGUCUCUUUAUAUACGAGAUUUACAAUAACAAUACGAAUGUAUACAUAACAUGUCAAUGCCAGAUUUAUUUGGACUCUACAAGUGGUCUCCUUAUUUACUAGUUUUUAUUAAACCAAGCAUGACACAAUAAAUAAUGAAUUUCCCAAAGAUCUUUCGCAUCCAAAAAGUGCACAGGAUUAUUAGCUUUUCAUGUUACUUGAAUGUCAGAACUUCCCAGCAAAGCCAACAGAAAGAAGCCCAAGACAUGCUAAAUUUAUACUUUUGAUCAAACCAAACAGGUUGUUAAAGUAUCUUCAGGUGCAUAAGUCAGGUAUCUAAAUUUAUGAACAACAGGUGUCUAUGCCACGGAAUGAAAAUUCAUAGAAAAUGUGAAAGAAGUUCCUAAAAUUAAAUCUAAAUUCGCUUAACAUGAAGCAAUGGCUGAAGCUGGAAAAGGCCAACCAGAACAAUUAUCUGUAGUGUUUUUAUCUAGAGUAAUGUUAAAUUAUAGGUUAGGAUUCAAAAGGAAAUUGAAAUCAAGGUUCCCCAAUUGAAACAUGAUUGCCGGUCCUUAAUGAUUCUAUGGAGUUAUACAAGACAGAAUUACUAAGGCAGACCAAUCCAAUAAUGGAUGCUACUGAUUGCUCGUUUUAAGGUUACGCAGUCCCAUUAUGAAAUGUCAAAGAAUCUGAUUAAUGAACAAUGACUAGCUAUGUUACACAAAUACGGAUAUGGGAAGCAGAUACGACACAAUAUGGUUAGUGCAUCCAUCAUGUAUCCAUCAAGAAUCCGAUAAUUUUCCGAAUGUUCAAAAAUGUCGGAUACUUCUAUAAAGUAUCCAACAUGUAUCGGACAUGUAUCGCGCGAGCAUUGGUAUCUGAUAUAUAUCUGAUACGAUUCGACAAGCAAAAUGAGGUAUCUGUGCAUCAUAGAUCAUAGCCUAUCAACUCCAAGAUUACAAUUCACCAAUAACGCAUUUGCUCAUGCUGACCGAGGACUAGAAGAACAGAGAUCAUUUCUCGGAAAAUCUAAACCAAACGAACCAUUCAUCUCUUAAAACGAAAUUUAAACCAUCUGAUGCCGUCUUAAAAAUCGCAGUUUUAGUGACUUUUUUCUUAUUCUGCAGUGAGAAAUGGUCGACUAUUUUAUGCCUAGGCAACAGGUUUUCAAAACUUAUGUUAAUUAUCACAAUGCAAACUACUCAAAGAUUGUAGAUGGCUUGAAUUGAGAUUGUAAGGCCUCCUAGGGUUGAAAGGGGAAGGGGCCAUGGGAGGAUAAGGAUAAGUAUAAGGUUAGGGUUAGGGUUUAAAUUGGAGAGGGGAGACGGAGAGGGAGAGAGAGAGUACCUUUUGCUACCAUUGGAGGAGGGCUUGUGGAGUGGAGUUAAGGAAGGAGAGGAAGCGGGGGCUCGAGCUCGAGCUCGAGGUCAAGGGAGCCAUGGCGAUGGCGUGGGAGAGGAGAGGAGGACGAAGUGGCGAUCACAUUUUGAAAACCCUAAAAUGCCGCGCGAGGGCGGUAGGGCGAGGGCGGUAUAUUUCGAGCGAUUUCGCUCCCGCGACGUUACCCGCCGCCGAUUUUAGAAUUCGUCGGUACUUUGUUUUCUUUUCCCCUUUUUUUUAAGCUGAAUUGAAGUCGGCAAAGUUUCUUGAUGUCGGCGCCGACUACAAGUCUUCUCUGUUACAUUUAGGCUUUGUAUAUAAAAAAAAAAAAACUAAUUUAUUUCGCUAACCGCAGAAAAUCACAUUGCAUGUCUUGUAAUGAAUCGGUAACAAUAUAUUUUCUGAUGCUUACAUAAAGACGAAGAUAGAUGUUAUUACAUAUUUUCUCCUUAACUCUACUUUAUCUAAUAACAUUAAAUGAAUCUCAAUACAAAUAGACCCUUAAACUAUAUUAUAAGAAUAAUGACAAUCAAUCAAAAACUCCACAUGCAUGUGAUAAAAAAAUUAUAUUUUUGUAUAUAAAAUUACUAUCUUGCACUUCCUAUGCAGUGUGUGUCUAUAUAUAUAUAUAUAGAAAGAACUAGGCUAAAAUAUUAUUAAUAGCACCAAGUUAUUGUUUGCUUAUUAAGUUUUCAGCUUUUGGAUGAAACGAUGUACGGUUAGAAUGAUAGUGAUUUUCUAGGAUUAAGUAGGUGGUUGGUUGAAUAGUAUAAUCUAACGGAUGAAAAUAAUCAAAGAGGUGGAUCGAACGAUAAAAAAUUUAGUAGCACAAAGUGCUUGAUGCUAUCGAUAACAUUAUAGCUGGACUCUAUAUAUACAUACAUAUAUUAUAAUAGACCUUUUCCUAUCUCUGUCAUGUGUCAACCAUCAAAUUGCUGAUUAUAUUUAAUUGCAAAUCUAAAUUACUAAAAAUCUCCUGUUUAAAAAUCAUUAGCAGUGUAGUUUCAACUGAUUUUCAGUUAUUUGAAAUUAUUUCAAUGAAUAUAAGAAAAUUAAAUCUGAUGAUUAAUUUUUUGUCAUAUAUAUUUGCCAUAAUUUGGACUUCUUAAAUGUAAGAAUAAUUAUCAAUCCAAAAAUAUCUUUUAUAAUUUCUUUAUUAGUUCUGAAAUUAAGGAUAUACAAAAGAGAAAAAGUGUAUAAUAAAAAGGUACAAAAUAGAGAAAUAUUUUGAUCCUGGUAACGCCAACCUCUCUAAUAAGCUUAUAUCAAUUAUGAAUAGAUCUACAAAUAAGAAUCUCAUCAUAUGAAAUAAUAUAAUCUUAGAUAUUUUGAGACAUAUGGGUGUAAUCUUUCAAAUUGCUAACACUAGUUGGCUAGUUCUUGAACUUUACAUAUUUAUAAUUUCCAAGCAUUUGUGAGGAAUUAUAUAUAUCAUGCAUGGUAGCGCCAUGUGGAGCCAUCGGAUUACAUCAUAGAUGUUUAUUAUUGUAAUUAAGUAUUUCUUGUAAUAAUAAAACCGAUGAAUCAAUGACAUAUAUUUGUGACAUAAUAAAUUUAAUGUUAAAUAUUAAGUUAGAAAAUAUGGUAGCAACAUGAAUCAUAUCUGUAUCAGAUAACACAACAAUAUAGUUAGGAGAGACUAUGAAAUAAAUUAAUUAAGUUCGCUUAUUCACACUGAAACUACUCUUAGUACUCAUCAACAUUUUGAGAUUCAUUAAUUGAUCUUGCCUUUUUCUUGCUAGGUAUAGUCAUCUUUUUCUCAUUUCCACAAAGAAAAACUAGCUAGCCUUGUGUUGUCUACGUUUUUUCUCGAAAAAAUCAUGAAUAUAUACUAUUCUUCUAGCUUGUGAGGAUAUGUACAAAGAAGCUCAACCUACAUGUGGGAUUUGCUAUGUUGGCUAAAUCCCAUGAUACCAAAUUUAUGUGGACAAGACUCCACUGUGUUACUAAAUGAUAGAGUGCACUUCUCCACUCACUGUAGGGGAGUGCACAUGCACUUAUCCAUUCACUGUAGGAUUUAACGCACUUCCCUACAAGAGACAAAGCAUUAUGUAAUCAUAGGAGUACUUGAAGCCUUAGUAACUAUCAUACGGAAGCUCAAAGUUCAUGGAGAACUCAAGGUUUCUCUUUUCAUUUAGGCUGUUUAAUGGGUGUGUUCAAUGGAUGAUAGGACCUACAAGAGGAUACACUUGUAUUCUAUUCUCAAAGCAAUAGAAGUAUUUAGUUUUUUUUCACAGAAUCUCUAUCUCGAGUUUCUCUCUUUUGCACUUAGUUAUAGGGCAUGUUGGACUGGGCUAGUAAUUAAACUGAGAGCAAGGUUUGCCUAUUUUUUCGGAGGAAGGCGGGUGCUGCACGAACACGAACUUUGCGAGCGAAAUCACUUAUAUGAUAGAGCUAGCAAUUCCAUUUCUAGAGCAAGCAAUUCCAUUUCUAGAGUUAAAAUAUAGAUAGGAAGCUCUAAAGCUAUUAAGGAGCCGUUUGGUUAGAUGUAAUAAAAAAUACAGUGCAGUUGAAAAUAUAUGCAGUUAGAAAAGUAGUAGUUACAAUGAUAUGCAUGUAUCUUAUUUAGUUGAAUGUAGUAGAAAAUACUGUAUCUAUAAGUAAUUUGUUUAAUUGCAUGCAAUCAAGAAACAUAUUUUCAAAAUGUUAUCAAUUUAUAUAUGAUAAUGAGAUUACCUCUAAUGUAGGGAAAAAAAAAUUUCUAUUUAUAUAAAGUUUAAUUAGGAAAGUAGGCUUACCUUCUAUAUAUAGUUGGAACGGUAGCUAAUUUGAGUAUAAUUUUAACUUCUGCAUUGGAUUUCCUUAUGCAUUUCCUACUACAAUAAUUGGAUUCAAAUAUACUAAACCAAAUAUCGAAUUUGGAUAUGUAUAUAGUUACAAUUGUAGAUGAAACCAAACAGACCCUAAGUGUAAUUAGUUACGAAAGAAUACACGACGCGUGUGGACCAUAGUUCUUAAAUACUAUAAUUAAGCCAAUUGAAAGCCAAUCAAAGGACGCCAUAUUAUUUGAAAUACUAGCUAGAAGAAGAAGACCUUCUUAAUUUCCCCGUUCAUUGUAGUCUCCUAUUAUACUUCUCCUCCAUGUAAUUCAAUAUUUUUCCAAAGCCAGCAAAAGAUCUACGCCAUUUGGUUUAGGGUUGACGAUGAGUCGAACACAAUCGAUUUUGAGCUAAGUAAACUCAAAUUAAUGAAAAGUUAUUCAACUUGAAUUCAAUUUAACUGGUUUUAGAUAAGUAUCAGGCUAACACAUCAAUAACCAUAAACUUCACAACCGAUCACAAAAAUUAACAGAAAUUCUCAGUGAGGUAAUUCCAUGGACUGUAAUAUUCCAUGUAACUCGAUCGAUCUGACCGAAGCCUUCUCCCGCGAUUGAGUACAAUGACCUAAAUUUCAAUAGUCGAAAUUAAUCAAUCAUUCUUUACUCAAUCACCUAAAUUUCAAUAGUCGAAAUUAAUCAAUCAUUCUUGAGCGAGAACGUACAAUGCGAAUUGAGUUGACACAACCCUGGCUUGAGAAAUUUUCGAGUCAGAUAUUUCUUGAUCCAAAUCUGAUCUGGUUUAUUUAAUGGCUGACCCAGCCCCUAAAACAUGUAUGAUCUAUUCAUCAACCUGGAACAGUGCAUGGAUGCGUUGCAUGCAUCCUGUAUGAUUAAAUCCCUAACACUGUAUAUUUCUGUUUUGUUUGUAACCAAGUCAAAGGUUAUUGUGCUAUUAUAUACACUGCAACAGAAUUAGGUUAUAACGAUACAUGUUUGGGACACUUUUGUGUAAGUGUCUCAUUUAUGUCAAAAUUUUUUAAAAAAUAUACUAAUGACUAAAUAUAAAGCACAAUCCAAUAAAAAAUAAAAGAUUACUCUACUCAACCCAUCCCACCCAGCCCAUUCGACCCGAUUACAAACAUAAAGCAAAUAAAAAGAAAAAUCGAUUACCAUCUCCCCUUCUCUCCUCACUCAAUCGACUGAAACUAGACGAAGAGCCCUUCCCUCGAUCUCCUCAUCCUCCGCCACCGCAGCCAACGAGGUAGAGUUCCGACGGUUGCUAAAUACUUAAAUAAGUGUUAGUAAAUUAACAGCACUCUUUUAGAUUAUACCGACACUCUUUAACUGUCACUAUAUACCUACCGACCCCACAUAUAACAACACUUUUUAAAAGUGUCGGUAAUUUAACCAGCAGUACUUUUUUUUUGACCUGUACCAAUAUUUAAAAGUGUCGCUAUAGACCGUUUUUGUUGUAGUGUAUAACGGAUUUUUGAUAAUACGUAGACAUUCAAUGAAUCUAGUUACUAUUUAAUUAGUGGUUGAACUGACCAGGUUGAAUGAAUCGAUCGAUCUGCUACGAAAAAUGGUUCUUUUAAUAUCAUGUCUUAUUCUAGUAAGUUCCAGUAUGUGAAAAGGUCUCUUCUAUUGUUGCAGACUCCAAUAUUGUUGACUCAUAUAAAAUAUACAUAAUACAUACAUAUAUAUACAUGAUAAUGAGAAGCUUAUAUACUUAAUAUGAAUAUUUCAAAAGAAACAGUUGACAAGUAUAUAUCUAAAAAUUGUUCUUUGGUGAUAUUGCUCUUUACAUCACCUUGCAAUAUUAAUUACAGCUAACCCUAUAUAUAUCAUUAGGUUUAUAGCCAAUAUAUGUAGAGGUUAAAUCUUCUGUCCCACCCAUCAUUGAUCAACAAGAUAAUAUGUGCACGUAUCCCACUGCAUUUUGUCUCAGUUCAGUGGAGAAUCCAUAAAACCAAUUUGCUUCGCAAUAAUUCCAACUACCACAAUAAUCCUAUAUAGAGAUAGACCUAGCUCUUUCUCAUCUAUAAAUAGCAUUGAAACUUAUCAAGCAACACAAUUAGGGUUUCCCUUUCAGGUAAGCAACAGUCUCUUUCUUGAUCUUUAACCUAAGUAACUAUUUAAUAUGAAACUAAUAGCUCCUAUAUCCCUUGCAGUUAUUAUAACCAGGUCAAGGAGGAUGAAGCUGAUCAUAAGUAUUGCAAUCAUAAGCAUGGUUGUGGUUAGUUCCUGCUCCGCGAUGCCGCGGAAGGUGAUGAAUGAAGCAAAAGAUGAACAUGGCGUGUCGCAAGCAAUAGCAGAAGGACCAGCGACAAGUCUGAGCUCCGCAUGCCCAGCGGCCUCGACCGACAACCAUCACCAGAUACCGAGAGACCAGUACAAUAACUGGAGCAGCCCGGGAAACAUGCCAGGGAGCGGCGGCGAUAGCGGCGAGAGGAUGUCGAGCCGAGGUUUGAACAACUAGCUAGCUAGCUAGCUAGCUAAGGAUAUGGUCUCACACUGUUGUUGCAUGCAUGAGCGAAUCAGUUAUAUACGUACGUAUAUAUGUGGAAUUCAUGCAUAGGGUUAAUUCGACGUGUUAUAUAUAUAUGGCUUGUGUUAUGUAUGUAUGAAGUAGAUGCAUAUAUAUGUAUAUAAAUAAUCACUAGUCGUUGCACUCGUGCAUGUAGUAAAAUAAGUGCGACUUGGUUGGCUUAAUGUAUAGGAGAAUCCUCAGUAUUUUACGCAGUAGUGAGAAUUAAAACGAUGUGAUGUAGCCUUAAUGAUCUCUCUCUCUCUCUCUAUGUUAUAUGUUUGUGCGCAUGCAGUGACACCAUUCUUGAAAUUGGUAAAUAAAGUUAUUACUCACUUCAUAAAUAUUAGUUUUGAAAUAAGUGUCUCUCUUAGUUUUGCUAUAAAUUGUUUUUUCGUUUUCUUGAAAUUAAUUAUGAUAGUUUAGAAUACUACUAUGUGUCUUUUAGUAUUUCUAAAAGUGUCUUUUAGUUUUUCCAUAAAAUUAUGAGUGAGUUAAUAUGUAGAGAAAUUGAAAGGCCUUUUGUAAGUCUAUAUAUAUGUAAUAAUUUUAUAAUGAUAAGUCAAGUCAAGUUGAGUUGAAAUUUCAACUUUUAUUUGAAAAGAAGGAUUUUUUAUUACGUCUAUCUCUUAGGUGGAUUUCUUGUAAGAGAAGAGUGUUGCUCAACCAUUGUAUUGGUAGAUUUUACAUAGUGAUGAGUGUGCUCGAAUUCGACGUGGGAAAUUUUACGGUGAGUCGAAUGUUUAUUAAGCAGUGCUUGUUCUAUUUUCGCAUCCCUCUUAAGUCCCGGCAUCAUGCAUGCACGUAGAGAGGCGCAAGGGGUACGGGCGUAACGUACGUAGGUCUUUUCUUUUAAUUAAUAUGACAAUCACUGGAUGAGGAGGAGGAGGAGGAGAAAAAAAGGGAGAUUUAAUUUCAUCUUGAAAAUUAGACUGAGGAGAUAAUAAUAAUAUAAGUUACUGGCUGAUAAUCUGAAAUUUGCCAAACAGUAUGGUAAUUAUUCGAGAUUUCUAUUUGAGUUUCCAAGAAAUUUAAAAAAAGGGUAAAAUUUAGGCUAGACUAUAGUGUUUUCUCGCCUAUGGUUCAACUUAUUUUUACUUUGUUAUUUUGUGAUUUAGAAAAUUACAUAUGGAUGACAAUUUGACUCACUUUGUCACUCUGCUGCUUGUAAGCAUUGUUAGUAUAAAGAAAAAAGUAUCCUUAAAUUUUAAUUGGUUUUUGUAGUAGUAUUAUAUAGUUUUAUUUUUUUUACAGUAAAGACUCCACUAUUAAACGCCGACCUAAAUAGGCAUAGUUGAAAUUUGAUAUAUCUCUAAAAAACUGGUGAGGGUACUGUGGAGGUGAGGGUGUAUAGGAUGGUAGAUGAUGUUAUAUUAUUGUACAAUUUUUGUGAUUUUCAAAAGUGAUUACGUAAUGAUGCUACCAAUGAUUUCACUCAGGUUUAACAGGUAGGUAUAUACUUAGGUGAACAAAAAUAAAAAGUACAAUAUAUAGAGCUUAAGUGUAAAUUUUUUGAAUCAUAGGAAUAACAAAAUAAAAAAUGUACAUACUAAAUACAAAAAAGGAGUAAGCGCUGCUGCUUGGAUGCAUAGUUAAAAAACUCCAAUGAAAUUUUUCUUGUAUGGUUUGGUCUAAAUGAAAUACGGAAUCUGGUAACUAAAAAAAAUUCCACAGCUUUCAUUUUAAGUGUUUGGGAUACAGAUCGUUACAGGAUUCCACAAUAUUUAUAACCAAUUUAAAUUUUCUUAAAAUUUUUUAAAAUUUCAAAUUCAAAAUUCAAGAAUUCAAAACUUCAAAGGUUCAAAUUUAAAAAUAGAAUUUUAAAAAUUAAAAUUCAAAUUCAAAAUAUUAAAAUUAAAAUUUAAAAUUUAAAUUUAAAAUUAAAAAUUAAAUUAGAUUUUAUGUUUUAGAAUUUGAAUGUUAAAUUAGGAAUUUGAAAUUUAAAAUUUGAGAUUUGAAACCCUUUAAUUUUAAAAUUUAAAGUAUACCAUUUAAACUUUAAAAUUUGAAAUUUAAAAAAUCUAUAAUUAAAAUUUUAAAUUUUAAAUUUAAUAAUUUAUAAAUUUACAUAUUUAUAAAUUUAAAAUUUAAAAUUUAAGUUUAAAUUUAAAUUUUGAAAAUUAAAAAUUAAAAAUUAAAAAUUAAAUUAAAAUUUGAAAUUUGAACUUUUUGAAAUUUGAAAUUUGAAAGUUGAAAUUUGAAAUUUGAAAGUUGAAAUUUGAACUUUUUGAAAGUUGAAAUUUGAAAGUUGAAAUUUGAAAUUUGAAAUUUGAAAUUUGAACUUUUUGAAAUUUGAAAUUUGAAAUUUGAAAUUUGAACGUUGAAAUUUGAAAUUUGAAAUUUGAAAUUUGAAAGUUGAAAUUUGAAAGUUGAAAUUUGAUAUUUGAUAUUUGAUAUUUGAACUUUUUGAAAUUUGAAAUUUGAAAUUUGAAAUUUAAAAUUUAAAAUCAAAAUUAAAAUUGAAUUUUAAAAUUUCAAAAUUUGAAAUUAAAAUUUUAUGUUGAAAUUUAAAAUUUAAAAAUUAAUACAUCUUUGGGAGGCCAAAAUGGUGGAAUUUUUUUCCUUUAGUUAAAGUGGAUUGUAAGUUUACUCCAUUUUUUGGAGUAUAGCAUAAUUAUACUCCAAAAAUUACGUUAUUUUUUUUUCUUCCAAACAUGUCAUAGGAUUAUUUUCCUAACUAUGCUACGUUUUUAGAGGUAUCCAAACGGGGCCUAAAUUGAAAUUUAACCUAAAAGAAUUAAACAGCCUUUACGUCAAAUACCAAUUAAGUGUUUAUAUACAGCUUUCCAACUCCAAAAUAGAAAAAAGGGGAAAGAAAUAAAAACUGAAGUAAGUUAACUCUAAAAGAGAAGGCUAAAUUACAGAAAAUUUUCUUGUCAAUAUUCAUUUUUUCAUUUUUUUUCUGUCAUUUAAAAAUCUACAUUCCUUGAAAAAUCAAAAAUGUUCACUUUGCCUCCUGCCGUCAGUAUUCCGUUGGGUUUCCGUUUUUAUUCUAUUAUUAUAUUUUGUUUAUACCCAAAAUACCCUCAACCUCCUCCCCUCAGCAUUGUCGCCUCCCUCCUCGCCGCCCACGCUACCUCGCCCUACUCCGCCACCUUACCCUCCUCGGCCGCCUUGCCUUCACCUACCCCUCUAUUUGCGCCCACACACACGCUCUCGCACUCCUUCGCGGUCUCGCCUUCGCCCUUACCCACCUCUCCGUCCAUGUCCACCCCGAUCUCCUCCUACCAUCGCUGAAAUGGGGGGCGACGAGGGUGCAGGAGGAGUGGGGGAGCAGGUGGAGGAAAUGGAGUUGGAGCUGCGGUUGAGCGAGGCGUGAAGAACAAAAGAGGAGAGAUGAUGACCUAGCAAGAUUGGGGACAAAGGUGGUGAGGGGCAAUUUCGCCAUUUCACUACCACAGUUAACACCGUACCCCCUGUGAAGAUUUUUUAUUUUUUAAGGGAUCAAAGUGUAAAUUUUUAAAUGAUAUGGGAGAAAAAUAAAAAAGCGGGUAUUGAUGAGGAAGUUUUCUGUAAUUUAGCCAGAAAUCAUAAAUUGGUUAACUAGGAUAUAUAAUCCAUGCGCAAGGUUCGAAAAUAGAAAUCCUAUAGCAUGCAUGGUUUGAGAAGGAUCCGGCCUGCUUAAUUAGCCAAUUGUUCAUAUAUCAUAGUUAAUUAGAUUAGCCAAUUUCAUAUAUAUCAUAGGAAAUAUAUAUAUAUAAUCCGUGCUGUGACUAGAAUAUUGAGCUAUGCUGAGCUGCUGAUUGGGGUAGAAGACUUAUAAAUUUGUGAUGGUUAUACCUCUGACAUAGGUUAUAAUCCAAAUUAAUUGUUGUGUAUGCAGGGCUGUCAACGUGCCCAGCAUAAGCUGUCACGUUAAAAUAUCAAGAUGAAAAAUCUAAAUCGUGUUCGGCUUGUUUACUAACAAGCCGAACAUGAGCUGGCUCGCAAAUAGCUAACGUACAGGUUAGAUUAAUUGUCUACAUUACUGCUGGUGAAAGUUUGAAAGAAAAUUUAAAAAUUAGAAUCUUAAUCUAAUAUAUAUAUAUAUAGAACUAGGCUACUAUACUAUCAGUAGCACGGAGCGCUCCGUGCUACCAAGUUGUUUUCGAUGAUGCGGCUUCCAAAUCAACGAUCGGCUCCGUUAGACUUGAUCUACACUAUUGAAAGCAUUUAGAAACUAAAUUUCAUAAUUUUUCGAAAUUAUUUACCUAUCAAACAAGUAGUCUAAAAUUGAACGGCUGAAAAUAAAAAUCUCAUAAAAAAUGAUGAUAAAAGAUUUAAAUUCAAGAUCAGAUAUACUGAUCUUACUCUAAAUAGUGAAAAGAAUUUUCUAUAAAAUUUUCAUCGCAUUUGGAUUGUUUUACACCGUUAAACUCACAAACACACCACAUCGGCCAUUAAAAUUGCCAAUUUUGAGAUCUUUUGAUCACUAGUCAAAUGAUGUUGAAAAAAUCUGAAAUUUAGUUUCCAAAUACUUUCAAUAGUGUAGAUCAAGUCUAACGGAGCCGAUCGUCGAUUUGGAAGCCGCAUAAUCGAAAACAACUUGGUAGCACGAAGCGCUCCGUGCUACCGAUAGCAUAGCAGCCGAACUCUAUAUAUAUAUAUAUAUAGAUUAAGAUUCUAAUUUUUAAAUUUUCUUUCAAACUUUCACCAGCAGUAAUGUAGACAAUUAAUCUAACCUGUACGUUAGCUAUUUGCGAGCCAGCUCAUGUUCGGCUUGUUAGUAAACAAGCCGAACACGAUUUAGAUUUUUCAUCUUGAUAUUUUAACGUGACAGCUUAUGCUGGGCACGUUGACAGCCCUGCAUACACAACAAUUAAUUUGGAUUAUAACCUAUGUCAGAGGUAUAACCAUCACAAAUUUAUAAGUCUUCUACCCCAAUCAGCAGCUCAGCAUAGCUCAAUAUUCUAGUCACAGCACGGAUUAUAUAUAUAUAUUUCCUAUGAUAUAUAUGAAAUUGGCUAAUCUAAUUAACUAUGAUAUAUGAACAAUUGGCUAAUUAAGCAGGCCGGAUCCUUCUCAAACCAUGCAUGCUAUAGGAUUUCUAUUUUCGAACCUUGCGCAUGGAUUAUAUAUCCUAGUUAACCAAUUUAUGAUUUCUGGCUAAAUUACAGAAAACUUCCUCAUCAAUACCCGCUUUUUUAUUUUUCUCCCAUAUCAUUUAAAAAUUUACACUUUGAUCCCUUAAAAAAUAAAAAAUCUUCACAGGGGGUACGGUGUUAACUGUGGUAGUGAAAUGGCGAAAUUGCCCCUCACCACCUUUGUCCCCAAUCUUGCUAGGUCAUCAUCUCUCCUCUUUUGUUCUUCACGCCUCGCUCAACCGCAGCUCCAACUCCAUUUCCUCCACCUGCUCCCCCACUCCUCCUGCACCCUCGUCGCCCCCCAUUUCAGCGAUGGUAGGAGGAGAUCGGGGUGGACAUGGACGGAGAGGUGGGUAAGGGCGAAGGCGAGACCGCGAAGGAGUGCGAGAGCGUGUGUGUGGGCGCAAAUAGAGGGGUAGGUGAAGGCAAGGCGGCCGAGGAGGGUAAGGUGGCGGAGUAGGGCGAGGUAGCGUGGGCGGCGAGGAGGGAGGCGACAAUGCUGAGGGGAGGAGGUUGAGGGUAUUUUGGGUAUAAACAAAAUAUAAUAAUAGAAUAAAAACGGAAACCCAACGGAAUACUGACGGCAGGAGGCAAAGUGAACAUUUUUGAUUUUUCAAGGAAUGUAGAUUUUUAAAUGACAGAAAAAAAAUGAAAAAAUGAAUAUUGACAAGAAAAUUUUCUGUAAUUUAGCCUUCUCUUUUAGAGUUAACUUACUUCAGUUUUUAUUUCUUUCCCCUUUUUUCUAUUUUGGAGUUGGAAAGCUGUAUAUAAACACUUAAUUGGUAUUUGACGUAAAGGCUGUUUAAUUCUUUUAGGUUAAAUUUCAAUUUAGGCCCCGUUUGGAUACCUCUAAAAACGUAGCAUAGUUAGGAAAAUAAUCCUAUGACAUGUUUGGAAGAAAAAAAAAUAACGUAAUUUUUGGAGUAUAAUUAUGCUAUACUCCAAAAAAUGGAGUAAACUUACAAUCCACUUUAACUAAAGGAAAAAAAUUCCACCAUUUUGGCCUCCCAAAGAUGUAUUAAUUUUUAAAUUUUAAAUUUCAACAUAAAAUUUUAAUUUCAAAUUUUGAAAUUUUAAAAUUCAAUUUUAAUUUUGAUUUUAAAUUUUAAAUUUCAAAUUUCAAAUUUCAAAUUUCAAAAAGUUCAAAUAUCAAAUAUCAAAUAUCAAAUUUCAACUUUCAAAUUUCAACUUUCAAAUUUCAAAUUUCAAAUUUCAAAUUUCAACGUUCAAAUUUCAAAUUUCAAAUUUCAAAUUUCAAAAAGUUCAAAUUUCAAAUUUCAAAUUUCAAAUUUCAACUUUCAAAUUUCAACUUUCAAAAAGUUNUAUAUAUAUAUAUAUAUAUAUAUAGAGUUGAUCUAGGAUACUUUUACAAGUAUCAUCCUCAUGUUGCUAUCACGUUUUUAGCCAUUGGAUCUACUUUUUGAUUACAAAUAGCCCUUGGAUCAAACACUAUUCCACCUACCACCACCUACCACCAUCAUUUCAACCUCACAUCUCUCCAUCCAAGGGCUAAAAACACACAAGUAUCACUUGGGUGAUACUUGUAAAAGUAUUCUAGCCCUACUCUAUAUAUAUAUGUAUAUAUAUGAGCUAUAUCGAGUCAUGUUUGGCUCUUUAAAAUUUUGAGAUGAAAAUUAAACUUGUGUUCGGCUCGUUUAUUAAACAAGUGAUCGAUCUCGAGCUCAUUUCAAAUAAAAUACGAGCUAACUCACGAACAUCGAUCCCUAUUGCUGUAUAGAUAAUAAAUGAUUUAUUUAAGAGUAAUAUAAUAAUUUUAUAUUAAAAUAAUAUUUUAAAAAUUUUAUUUUUAUAUAGUUUUAUUGUAGUAUCCUUUAUUUUAUAUCUAUUAUUAGUGAACUUAGUUGGUGUGGAUUGUGGCUAUGAUGCCACGUGCAACCCUUUUUCCUCUCCAUGCAUACUUAUCUUUUAGCUGGGUGGCACUCUAAUUAACUUUGCAUUUUCUUCUCUUCUCUCUCUCUAGCCGAUUGUGAGCAAGGAGGAGUUCGUGUGGAGCAUUUCGUCGUCGACAUCGCGCCGCGGAGCCGUCCGAGCAUACGUGCGUCGCCGUAGUUUCGCGAGGAGGCCGGGCGAGAGAGUGUUUUCGUCGUUCUCGACGCCGUGCUGGAAUUGGAGUCGCUGGUUGAGGUGGGUAUCUCUCAUUCCUCCAUGGAUUUCUUCUCUACUUCAAGCUUCAUUGAAUCCGAGCUCGAGGUGCUUUUUUCACUGAUUUCCAGCGUCGACCGUCGGCGUUUCGGCUCCCUCUCGACGUAGGAGCAGCGGAUUUCGACAAGACUUGGUUCGUUGGAUUCGGGACUUCGAGAGGAAUCCACGAAGCCCUUACUUGCUGGUUUUGGUGGAGGUUUUCCUGGUCGGAAUUAUUCUCUUCUCUGCUGCUAUUUUUGAGGCAGAAUCGGUGCUCAUUUUCGGAUUUUACGUGUAGAGUUUGGCAGGAGCGUGAUUUCUGGCCUUUGGAGGUUUGCGGAUUGAUCCAGCAGGGUGUUCCUUUGCUUCGGGACAUCCUCGCUGCUGGGGAUUAGCGACUAAGGUGGGUUAAUCAUCGGCUUAUACUCCUAAGUGCGCAAUAGUCAACAUGUGUAAUUUCAGAUUUUAUAUAGUUUACUUUAGCUCGAAUUCAUGGAUUUUCUUAUAGAUAGCAAAUCUGAAUUUCGAGUAUGUGAUAUUAAAUUGAGUAGUUUAUACAUGUUGGACUUGAAAUGUGAAUUAGGAGAAAACCUGCGAUUUGGACCUGUCACAUGUUUAAACUGCCUGAUUUAGCUCUAGGAGCCGUUAUAAAAUUGUACUGUCGCUGUAUUCUCGAGACGAGUACUUCAGGUAGUUUAGAAUACAUUUACGCUCGUGCUGGUACGCCGAGUGAAUUUUUACAGGGUCGUUUGUGCUGUUUCCAGACUGUUGGGUGCCGUCGGGGUUGACGGUGGACCCGUAUCGUCUUUUUGGCGUUGGAUUGUGCCGAGGGCACGUUACCUGUUGGUUGUUAGACCAGUUUGAGUCGGUCAUUGGACUUUGGCUUUCAAGAGCCUGAUUGAGCUCGACAGAGAUACGCUGCAUACUCGGUUGGGUAGCGCCCACGAGUGCCACUCCGGAGACGGGCUUUGUGCUUUCGCGUUGGUGUCGCUCAUGCCGGUUGGACUUGCUCUCCACGGACCAGUUAGUGUGGAGGUAGCUGGAUAGUCGCAACUGGGCAGGGACGGGUGUAUUCACAGUCCCAGGGACGGGUAUGUUUACAGUCCCGAUUGGAUUGUGUCAGAUUUGUCAUUUCCUACAGUUGGUUAGUGUAGAGCAUGAUAGUGUAGUGAUUGAUAGCCGUAGAGUUUAUUUCCUAUUUUUCUAACUAUUCUUGCUCCCUUCUGUAGACUUAGUGGGUGGACCGAUAUUGUUUUGGGCUGUUCCCACUGAGGACUACUUGUUUUUACAGUAGUUCAGACUUAGUGGGUGGACCGAUGGUGUUUUGGGCGGUACCCACUGAGGACUACUUGUUUUUACAGUAGUUCAGACUUAGUGGGUGGACCGAUGGUGUUUUGGGCGGUACCCACUGAGGACUACUUGUUUUUACAGUAGUUCAGACUUAGUGGGUGGACCGAUGGUGUUUUGGGCGGUACCCACUGAGGACUACUUGUUUUUACAGUAGUUCUCACGCCCAGUUGUUACCCCUGUUUUGCAGAGCCACAGGUUUCGGCUGCUGCGCCUUCCGCGGAUCAGGAUCGAGGCAAGGGCGUCGCGAGUUAGAGCCCUACCCGACGAGCAGAGCUAGAGGCACCCCUACUGCAGGUAGAUGUUUUGUUUCGAGUUUAUGUACAUAGUUUACCUAACUCGCCAGUGCGAGUAACUCUGUAUUUUGGAUUUGAGCUAUGUAUAUGAAACUCAAUUUGUUUAGCUUUUGUUUUCUCUAGCAGCUCUAUACUACUGUUUGUAGUAUUGUAUGUUUACAGGUACAGCUGUCGCUUCGUGUACAGAGAAAACUCCUUUGUAUACGGCGGGUUUGUCGGCGUGCCCGGGGAACGAGACAUCCGGGGCGUGACAUUUAUUCUUUUAUAUUUGUGUGUAAAACGGGGGCCGUUGAAUGGAUAUCUUUAUUACAAGGACAAACUAUAAUAAGGAAUUUUAUAUAUGCGGAGCACUAAAAAAGAGUUUAAGAGGGGAAAAAGUCAAAACUUUUAAUGGAAUUUUCAUAGGUUCCGUUAACUGUAACAUUUUUGCCUUGGAUAUUAUUGUAAAAUGUAACUUAGCGCAAAAGAAUUUAUAUGAACAAUUUAAAAGUUAAGCAUAUUUUUUUUGAAAUUACUCAAAAUAUUAAGGAUGUACAUACAUUUUUCCAAUUUAAAAAAGAUGGCAAGUAUAAAGAGGAAUCAAUUAAUGAGAACGUGACGAUCCUCCAAUGAAUUCUAACACAAAUGACCAAAAGGAUAUCCAUUCUUUAAUUAAUUUGUGUUGGAAAUAAUAGGGCAGUUGAAACUUACGAACCGAAUAGCCAACGUAUUCGGGAACCCAAAUCGGAUUAGAUUACUUAUUUUACAAGCCUUCUUGAAUCGUCCUUAUCUUGAUGCUUCUGGAUCUCCCACGUUUCACGCCUUCUCCUACGCCUAUGCCUCACGUUACGGAUCGGAUGCGUCGAAUGUGUUGGAUGCAUUGAAGAGGGCUACCAGAGUCCUCUUCUAUGUCCACACUCCAAAACCUCGGAAACGUAGGUGGAAAUCCCAGGGAGGAAGAAGAGAGAAGAAGGAAGAUUUUUCGUAUUCAAUCAUAUUCGUUCAUCUCUCUUUUGGAGAGAAAAGUGGCGUAUUUAUAGAAUAACGAAACCCCUAAAUAUCCUGAAUCCUACAAGGAUUAGGAUAAGGAUCGGGAUAUCUAUUAACAUAUAAUAGAUAUCCACAAGUACAUUUGUUUCUUAACUGAUAAGAAACAUAAGAUUUAUUCUUAUCCUAAACUCAUUAGGAUAAAUCAUGAUCCACGCCUAAUAUAGAUCGGGUUAAAUCAUAAUCCGCCAAUGUGGACACACCAUAUGGCAACAAUCUCCCACUUGGCCAUAUUGGCCAAUUCUCUCUCACUUAUUCAUCUCUUCAUACGGGUAAUAGAGUGUGCGACCUGACAAAAGAAACACAUGCAGGAGUGCUAUAUUAAGUCACCACCUAACUAACAUAGCACUUCACUGACUUAAUUCGUCUAUACCCUAGACGUUCCAACACACACCGGAUCAAGCAUCACAAAGUCCCUCUCCUAUAAUAAUAGGGAUCGAUCCCACCGUUAUUUUUCGUACUCAUAAUUAUCUCAAGUAACACAACCGAGAUAACCGCCCGGGCAAUGAGUCACAAGACUUAAGUGGUGUGUUAUCAAAACAUCUUCCUCAGCCCCUCACGUUAGUCUAUAUUGGUCCAAGCACUUUACUAGAAAUGCUCCGCGAAAUCGUAUUUUCUCAUGACCCUGAGAUACACGCUAAGUUAGUUACUUUGGACCUCCACUUCAUAACGUAGUUCUAAGUCGAUGGUACAAAAAAAAGGUUAGUACUCACACAGUGACAUGGAGCUAGGGAAGAACUUAUGUCACUCUACUAAUUGGUCGACAAUCACAUACAGUAUGAUAUAUAUGUUAUGGCGGAGCUCCCACUCAAUGGGUCAUGUCACGCUCUAAAACGCCAUACGAACAUUGGUCUAGGUACCACUAAGGUAUCUAACAACCACAACUCAAGUCAUCUCUCUAACCUGAGUACUUAGGUUCGGCUACUAUACAGGCUCGACAUGAAAUUUUACAAAAACUUUCAUAUCCAACUCUUUAGAGUCUCAUCUUAAACUAAUUAAGGCGACUUUAAAUUAUAUCAACACUUCAUUCAUAACAUAUAUGAACAAAGUAAUCAUAUUACAACUACUCAAGUUUAAUAUGAUUAUUUAGUCUCAUCCUGCUCACCACUUAGGUGCCAGGGCGAUCACCCGUGUGAGUGGGCUGAUCUGAGCCUGGUGAGUUGUCGAAUAUGUGCCUACUAUUAUCAAUUACGCAAUCUCAUUAAGAAGAAAAACAUAUUUUUAUUAAUAAAGCGUAAGAUACAAAAUAAUGUCCAUAUCAAAACCUACGAAGACCCAAACUCUCAACGUCGGUCAGGGACAUAUCCCUAGCUAUCGGCUUGGUCAACGGAUCAGCCACUAUCCUACUGGUGGAGAUAUGUCUAAGAAUGACCUCGCCUAGCUUAAUCAUCUCUCGAAUGUAGUGAAACCGGAUAUCAAUAUGCUUGGUCCUGCCAUGAUACUUUGGAUCUUUCACAUACUACAUGGCAGCUAUGCUGUCAGAGAACAUCUCAACAAGCUUAUCAGCUCGAUUCACAAAGUCGAGGUGCUGGAGAAAUCUCCUCAGCGAAAAAACAGCCUCCUAAACGGCUGCUAAUCAAGCAACAUUUUCUGCUUCCAUAGUAGACAAGGCAACGCAUCCUUACUUCUUACUGUACUAGGAAAUUGCCUCACCUCCAAGCACAUAGCCUGAGGUGGACCUGCACUUAUCUCUAUCACCGCCCCAAUCAGCAUCACUAUAUCCUUUCAAUCUCAAGUCCCCACCUUGAAAAUAGAGAACGAGAUCACCGGUUCUUUUUACAUAUCGAAGGAUUCUCUUGACUGCUUGCCACUGAAUAGGUCCUGGGUUGCUCUGGUAACGACUUACCAAGCUAACAGCAAAGCAAAUGUCAGGUCGAGUACACAUCAUAGCGUACAUCAAGCUGCCAAUUGCACUCGCAUAAGGAACUCUACUCAUUUGCUCAUUUUCUUUAUCCGUUUUAAGGCACUGAUCUAGACUCAGAGUGUGAUUCUUUUCCACUGGAGUGUCAACGGGUUUACAAUGAUGCAUCCUAAAACGCUCCAGAACCUUUUUAAUAUAAGCUUCUUGAGACAAACUAAGAAGCUUUCUAGAACGAUCACGGAUGACCUUCACUGUAAGCACAUAGCUCGCCUCACCCAUGUCUUUCAUUUCAAAAUUGAAAGACAACCAUUCCUUAGUGGUGUUGAUUAACUCCAUGUCAUUUCCAGCCAAUAGUAUAUCGUUGACGUAUAGAGAGAGAAACAAAAUUUCAUUCUCUGUCUUCUUGACAUAUACAUAGUGGUCCUACUCUAUCAUGAACAUACCGAUAGAGGUGAUGGCUUCAUGAAACCUGAAAUACCAUUGUCUCGAUGACUGCUUGAGACCAUAAAUGGAUCUUUUAAGAUGACAAACUUUGUCUUCUUCACCUUUUAGUAUAAAACCCUCAGGUUGAUCCAUAUAGAUCUCCUCUGCUAAUUCUCCAUUGAGAAAAGCUAUCUUGACACCUAUUUGGAACAAUUCCAAAUCUAGGUGUGCCACUAAGACUAGAAUCAAACGAAUAGAGGCAAAUCGCACAACGGGAGCAAACGUCUCGUUGUGAUCUACCCCUUGCCUCUGAGUAUAGCUCUUGGCCACGAGCCGAGCCAUGUACUUAUCGGUUGAUCCAUCCACUUUGCGCUUAAUUUUUAAAACCCAUUUAUUUUCAAUAGACUUGCGCCCAGACGGAAGGUCAACUAAUUCCCAUACAUGGUUCUUACUCAUGGAGUCCAUCUCAUCUUUCAUACCAAUCAUCCACUCACUGCAAGCUAAUGUCUGUAGUGCUUCUUUAUAGGAAGCAGGCUCAUCAUCAUCGAGCGGAGUGCACAUGAAAAUAUCCCCUUCGAUCUCAAAAUGUCGGCGGGGAAUAUGUCUACAUUCACUUCUACGCAAUGGAGGGUCUGAACUGCCGACUUCUAAGGGUAUGCUCUCACUCAAAGAAGCGCUCCCACUAGCCGGAGGAUCGCUACCUAGGGGUGGAAACGAGCCGAGCUCGAGCGAGCUUACCUCGGCUCAAAUUCGGCUUGAAAUUAAUUUCGAGCCUAAAUUUAAGCUCAAGCUUGGAUUGAAAUUAUUUCGAGCCGAACUCGAGCGAGCCUAAUUUCUAAUCGAGCGAGCUCGAGCCCUAAACGAGCUGCUUGAAAUUCUCAACAUCAUACGAUCAAUAAUUUAAUUUGUAUAGAACAUUAUCUAUAAUUUGAUACAAAAAUAUGUCUAAUAGUUCAAAGUAUAAAAUAAUUAUAUAAAAUAUAGUAUUAUAAUAUGAAGAAAAAAAAAUUAUGAGUUGAAUAUCUAAUCUUUUUUCAGGCUCACAAUGUCUUUUCUUACGCUCUCAAUUCUCCAAUUAUUCACUUCAUUAUUACAGUCAAAAUAAAAUAAAUUAUUAUUAGAUAAAAUAUUGGAUUAAAUAUCCAAUCAUAUAUAACUAAAAUUAAAAUUUAUAUGAAUAUAAUUUUUUACUUUAAAAAUUUCUGUAUUUUUUCUCAAGCAUACAUAUUAAAGCAAAUAGCAACGGCAGACAUAUACUACUACUUGGUAACGUUAGGGGAUUUCACCGCUUGGCCACCAUAGGGUGAAAUACAGAAAAAAGAGAAAUAGAGAAAUAUAUGAAAAAUAUGAGCCUCAAGUGAAAGAAGAAGAAAGAAAUAUGUAUAAAUUUAGUAAAAUUUUGCUCUUUAUUUGUCCUAUUGGGUUUGUUUUAUCGGCCAAUCGUAUUAUUGCCCCAAUUAACUAAACUCUCAGAAUUAUUCAUUGAUCCUAUAUAUAAGUAAGAUAUAAAUUAAGUUUCAUAAUAUUUUUUAAUACUAUAUAUAUACAUAUAUAUUAUAUAUAUAUAUAUAUAUAUAUAUAUAUAUAUAUAUAUAUAUAAUCUACACGCUCCUAUGCUUUCGAAAGUACAGAGGCCUCUGUGCUUGUAAGUUAUUUUCAAUGAUGGGAUGUCCAAUUCGGCGAUCGGUUUCAUUAGACAUGAUCUACGCUAUUAGAACUAUCUAGAAACCAAAUUUCAUAAUUUUUUAAUUUUGUUUGCCUAGUGAACGAGUAGCCUCAAAAUGAACGAUUGAAAAUAAAAAUCUCAUAAAAAAUAAUAAUAAAGGGCUCAAAUUUCAAAUCGAAAGUAUUGUUCUUACUCUUGAUGUUAAGUAAAAUUUUCUAUUAAGUUUAAUGUAAUUUGGAUACUUCUACACCGUUGAACUUAAAAACGUGCCACAUCGGCCGUUAAAAUAGUUAUUUUUGAGACCCUCUGAUCGCUUGGUAAAUAAAGUCGAAAAAUUAUAAAAUUUGGUUUCUAAAUAGUUCCAAUAGCAUAGAUUGUGCCUAACGGAGCCGAUCGUCGAAUCGGAUGUCCUAUCAUCGAAAACAACUUACAAGCACGAAGGCCUCUGUACUUUCGAAAGCACGGGAGACGCACUAUAUAUAUAUAUAUAUAUAUAUAUAUAUAUAUAUAUAUAUAUAUAUAUAUAUAUAUAUAUAUAUAUNAUAGCUCGCCUCACCCAUGUCUUUCAUUUCAAAAUUGAAAGACAACCAUUCCUUAAUGGUGUUGAUUAACUCCAUGUCAUUUCCAGCCAAUAGUAUAUCGUCGACGUAUAGAGAGAGAAACAAAAUUCUAUUCUCUGUCUUCUUGACAUAUACACAGUGGUCCUACUCUAUCAUGAACAUACCGAUAGAGGUGAUGGCUUCAUGAAACCUGAAAUACCAUUGUCUCGACGACUGCUUGAGACCAUAAAUGGAUCUUUUAAGAUGACAAACUUUGUCUUCUUGACCUUUUAGUAUAAAACCCUCAAGUUGAUCCAUAUAGAUCUCCUCUGCUAAUUUUUCAUUGAGAAAAGCUGUCUUGACAUCUAUUUGGAACAAUUCCAAAUUUAGGUGUGCCACUAAGGCUAGAAUCAAACGAAUAGAGGCAAAUCGCACAACGGGAGCAAACGUCUCGUUGUGAUCUACCCCUUGCCUCUGAGUAUAGCUCUUGGCCACGAGCCGAGCCUUAUACUUAUCGGUUGAUCCAUCCGUUUUGCGCUUAAUUUUUAAAACCCAUUUAUUUCAAAUAGACUUGCGCCCAGACGGAAGGUCAAGUAAUUCCCAUACAUGGUUCUUACUCAUGGGGUCCAUCUCAUCUUUCAUAGCAGUCAUCCACUCACUGUAAGCUAAUGUCUGUAGUGCUUUUUUAUAGGAAGCAGGCUCAUCAUCAUCGAGCGGAGUGCACAUGAAAAUAUCCCCUUCGAUCUCAAAAUAUCGGCGGGGAUAUGUCUACGUUCACUUCUACGCAAUGGAGGGUCUGAACUGCCGACUUCUAAGGGUAUGCUCUCACUCAAAGAAGCGCUCCCACUAGCCGGAGGAUCGCUACCACUUCCUUCAGCGACUUCGGGAAGUGAUCGAUCACCCUCAAUCGCAGAUGGGGUGGCGUCGUCCUGUAACUCAUACAAUCCAACGUCUCUUCGCAUUUCACCAAUGCUUGGAAAAUCCCCUUGUAGGAAUUCCACAUCACGAGACUCAAUCUCGGUCAUACCACCAUCUCGGUGUUCACCAAAUAUCACAUAGCCUUUCAAAUUUUCAGGGUAUCUGAUGAACACAUGCUUGCUCGCUUUAGGGUCUAGUUUUUCGAAUCUAUAUGAGGGGUUGUGAACAUAUCCAGCUGAACCCCAGGGGCGUAAGUAGUGUAAACUUGGUUUUCUACCGCUCCAUAACUCAUAUGGGGUAGUUGGCAAUGAUUUGCUAGGGACUCGAUUAAGGAUGUAGGCUGCAGUCAAAAAAGCAUCUCCUCAAAAACUUAUGGGAAGUUGCGCUUGUGCCAUCAUCGACUGUAAUACACUGAACUUCGGCAAACUGUGAAUCUGAGGGUUGGAAUAGUGAUUGAAACUCUUCUACAACUUUUGUAGGAUUGUUGAGAGGCUUCAGCAAAUUACUGGAGCAAGCAGAUAUCUGGAAAUGGAAAAGUGCAUUGCAAGUGCAUUAUUCUAUUGCAAUACUUUGAAAUUGGUCAAUUACGAAGUUCGAAUGUGGGAAAUGGUAAAUGAAACUGCCUACAUAUUCUAAAGGGUUUGGACAAGUUUUUGGAUAAGUUAGAGAGUGAUUGGAUGGCUAAAAGUAAGAAGACGCAUUGUUGUGGCUUUUUCUCGAAUUUUUGUAUUGUGUACCGGUACAACAUCAAUGCUGUACCGGUACAGCAAGCAGCAGUGGCAGCAGCUGCGUGGCAGCAGGGAGAAUUUGGUUGUUUCACUACCUAAGCUUAUCUACAAGCACCUUGCUCGACCCCAGAUGUUCAGAUAAACAUGCUGGAGUUCUGAAAAAGCUUCUCCCACCUCCUCCCUCUUUCUCUCUCUAGGGUUUUUCUCUCUCUACGAGAAAGUCGCCGAUUCGCGUCGAUUUCGCGUUCCGCUUGAUGUUUGCUGACCUGGAGACUUGAAGGAAGCUCUUGGAACGUGGGGAGGUGGUGUUUCACUGAGUUUUUCGUGAGUAUAUCAUCAGAGAAGCUGAAUUUCAGCUGUUGAAAGGUAUAUGGCUUAAAAUCUCUCUAGUUUAAGAUUUAGUAUCGGAUUUUGAAUCGUUUUUAUUCUUUUGCUCCUAGCUGAAUUAAAAGAGAAUUUCAGCAGUAGAAAAAGGUGAUUUGGCUGUGAUUUAUAUAUCUUUCGUUCAGGAAAAAGUUCCUUUAAAGCUUGAUAAAGAUAACUAGUGAGUUAUGACUCUAUUUCGGGAUUAUAUGAAGUCGAAUUGGGUAAAUUGAUACUAUUUGGAAUGAUGUCUUCGCAGCAGGUUUCCGAAGUUAAUUGAGUUUAUUUGGUGACCUUGGAGACUGGUUUAGAAGGUGUCCUAACCUGAGGUAAGCUGGAAUUUCAGUUAGAAACCUAAUUUCACAAGAAUUCGGCUAUAUGAAUUAGUAUACGUGCGUUUUGACGCCGUUUAAUGGUUGUUCGCAGCGAGAGUGCAAUCGACCCUUGGAUUGUCUUCGGCUAGUUUGAGAGAGCCCUUGGAGACUUAUUUCGAGGUACUAAAGGGAACCAAAACAGGAAUUCAAGUUACUAUUUUGUACUAAGUGCGAAUUGUGCCGAAAUUGGACAUUUCGGUUGUAGUAUUGAUGUGAUUUCGUGCUUUGUUUUCAGCAGGAUUGAGACUCCAUUGAGUUGAGUUUCGGGACUUCUUGUGGCUGGAUUGAGCUUAGUGAUAGGUGGGUCUGACCUUUCCGAAAUGGGUGAAUUCUCUCUAUGCCUCCUUUGACAUCUGAGUUGAAGUUAUUCCAUAUUCAUGUGAAUAUAUGUAUAGUUCAGGGCAUUGCGAUAUGCAUUGAUGUGUAAAUCAUAUCGGAUAUGAUAGCAUCUUUAAAUAGUAAUGAAAGAUUCAUGACUUGUUCACUCUACAUGGUUACAUGUUAAAGUACUACGUAUUCAUGAUACUAGUAGCUUGCAUAUGCAAUUUUAGCUUGAUGUUAUCCAAGAGGAUAUAAUGAUAAAUUCGUGAAUGGACUAAUUAGUUCUGUUGAACAACAAAGAGAUUGAUGUAUUUAGGAUUGAGCUAUGCAAUGUUAUAUCGCAAGUAUAAUUGCUAUACUCUGAAAGAUUAGGUAAAGGCCUUUGUUUGCAUAUGCAUUUCUAAUUGUAGAAUGAAUGGCAUAGAGAUCAUGUGAAGAGUAUUUUAUCGCUUGUUUUACUUGCUUGCAUUAUCCUGUUAGUUUCUACUUUCACAUGAUAGACUUAUAUUAUGGUAUAUGUUCUAGUAAGUAACUAAAAUUUCAUAUGAUGGCAUAACUUGAAUGAUUAUUCAAUUGAAUAUAAUCUAGUAAACAACUAGAUUUGGAUAUGAUGACAUACUUGUAUAGUCAAGUAGAGAUUUAUAUUGGACUACAGAAUAUGUGCAAUGAGUCUUUGCACAGAACAUUAGUAAACCACUUUCCUUAUGUGUAAGGAGUAGUGAGAGAUUGUGAAUGACUGACCAGGUAUAGCCUGAUAGAAUCACUAGUGUGAUAUAAAGCCUUAACUUGUCAAGUUAUACUAGUUAUUGGUAGAAUCAUAUCAACAAGUUGUUGAUAGUGACUUAUGAUUGGGUACUACAGUGCCGACCUUGGGUCGAGUUGAGAUAUUUGUACCCUGGACUAUAGCUUGCAUGCCAUUACGCUCUUUCGUACAUGCUUGCGGGGGUCGCGCCCCCCAAGCCCCGCGUUCCGGAGUGGCUUGAGUUGAGAUACCAUGUCAGGGACAUGAUUCUGUUGUGAGAUUGGUACUAUGGACUACGGCUUGCAUGUCAUUGUGCGCGUUCGCACACGCUUGCGGGGUCGCUUCCCCCCAAGCCAGCACUCCCGAACAACUUAGCGAUAGAUGCUCGAAAAUGUACGAAGUGAGCGCUGAAGUGGAAUGCCGUGGGGAGUGUACACUACCACGGGGCCAUUAGGCACGGCGCGGCUUGAACUUACCUUAUGUAAGUCUGUUGGAAAUUGGGUUAUGUCAAGUGCUUUAACCUUAGCUGAACAUAGUAGUAAAAUUACUUUAUGUCUUUGGUUAAGUGAACUUAUUGAUGAACAUACUAGAAAGUUGAUAUCUAAAGUGAGGUUAGUGAUGAAUAAUCUAGAAGUUGACAUCAUGCUUGGUUAGCAACAUUAUGAAUGACAUUAUGUUUCUUUUUUGCUAAUGAAAAAGGUGAUUACAUGAUAUCAUCUGUAAUUUCGGUAAAGUGAAUUAUCUUAUACAAUCUGGUAUAUGUUUGGUUAAAUUGUCAAGUAAUAUGAUUGAUAGAAUCUAUCAUGAUAACUGAUACCUGCAAUCUAUUGAUGUUUAUUUAUUGUUGGGCAAAUAGCAUGAGUAGUUUACUUUCAUAUCUGUUGCAUGUAAUUGCUUAUUGCAUUAUCUGCAUGUACUUGUUUAUUUAUUGCUAUCUACUCAUGCCACAGUUGACCUAGUGGUGUACUUCGCCACUCUAGGCGGCUUACCCACUGGAAAUUAUUGUUUAAUAGUUCUCACGCCCUCUUUGUUGUUGUUUUUACAAAGCCUUUCACCGCGGGAAAGGCUAGGGUUCUUGGCGAGGGGUCUGCGGCUAGCUAGAGCCUUUUUGGACGUGUACCAGAUGACCUCCACCAGUUUAUGUAAUUUAGUACAGAGAUGUAGAUUAAGUUUUUGUAAAUUAUACUUUAUUCUUAUUUCUUGUAUUAAGGUUUGGAUUGUAUAAGUUUAAACUUACAAGUCUUGCUCUGAUUAUUUGGUUAGAAUUAUAUGCUUUUACUAUAUGGUUUGUAGACGCCUUGUGUAUACUUGAGUUGUGGUGUACACGGCGGGUCUGUGCACGCGACCGGAUAUGCUUCCGCUGGUACCCGGGCGUGACAUCGACCUAACCAUGUCUAGUAGAGUACGAUUCCUUCGCUCUACAACACCAUUUUGUUGCGGAGUACCAGGAAUGGUGAGCUGUCUACUAAUGCCCCUUUGCUCACAAUAAGUCUUGAACUGAUCAAACAAGUACUUACGACCUCAUUUAGUGCGAAGCACCUUUACACUUCUUUCUAUUUGAUUCUCAGCCUCUGCAACAAAGCGCUUGAAGCAAUCUAAAGCUUCGGAUCGGCGAGAAAGCAAAUACACAUAUCCAUAGCGGGAAAAAUCUUCAAUGAAUGUGAGAAAAUAGCAAACACCAUGCCGGGCCCUCACAUUCAUUGGCCCACAAAUGUCUGAGUGGAUUAGCUCUAAAGGAUGAGAGGCACGAGUAGCCUUACCGAAAGGCUUUCUAUAUACCUUUCUUGCCAGACAAGGCUAGCACACAGAUUGGUCAACUUUGGCGAGAGACCCCAAAAGGCCUUCUCGAGCCAGUCUAUUCAUUCUUUUUUGACCUAUAUGGCCUAAUCUGGCAUGCCAUUUAACGGAUUCAUCACAGAGAGUAGAAGAAGCAAAUGCAAACGAAUCAUCCUCCAAAUCUAAUUUAAAGAAACCAUCAACUAAUAUACCAUAUCCAAAUAAAGUACCAUAAAAGGAAAUAUCAAGGCGGUCUCUGUCAAAAUGGCUCUACAAAGAUUUUCAACUCCACCACAGGGACUUUGAUUUCAUUUAUUCUGCGCUCCAUUGUUGUGAUACUUCUUGCGCUUGGGUGCAACCCCACUGCGCUUCUCGGAGCGUGCAUCAAGAGCGACAGAACGGUUUGCUUCCAAGCGCUCUGCCUCGAGCUUGAGAUGACGCGAGAUAUCGUUAGACGUUUUAAUGUUCUCGCUAUGCAUCAACAGAAGCUUCAUCUGGGACCAUACAUGAUCAAGCAGUAAACGAAUCACCGCUAGAACUUGUUGCUCAUCAGUGAGCUCGUUUCCAGCAGUUUUAAGGUCCCGAAUCAUGGUGCUCAUCACAUGGAGAUGCUCAACCAUUAAAUAUUUCGGGUCCUCAAUACACUGUUGGAACUUUAUAUUUAAGGCACGUAGCCUCGUGGUUGAAAUUUGCCCAAAAGCAAUCUUCAGAUUGUCCCAUAUGUCCUUGACAGUUUCAAAAGAUCUCAAACUAUCUAAUGAGGUCGUCUUGCAUGGCACACAACACAGUGUACCGAGCAGUUCGAUCAUCCUUCUUGUUAUAUAUCUCUUUUUCAUGUUUAGAAGUGGUGCCUUCGACAGGCAUAACCCUUUUUGACAGAGAGAGAGUUUCGAGAACACCUUGUUCAUUAAGCAGGUAUUGCAUUUUCCUAUGCCAAAUAUCAUAAAUCUUUCCAUCUAGCUUAUCACCCCUAGUGAGAUCAGCUAUGAUGAUUUUGAAAAUUAUUUCACUACAUUCAAAAAUAGGUUUGGACAUUAGGCACAUAUUCCAAAAAAAAAUUAACAAGAUUGGAACAUUAUCCUCGACACAAUGGUAUCGAAAACUUCGCUAUGCUCAUAAUCAUCACCCAGUGUCGGAUCAAAAUGGUACAAUCUCAUUAAUUUUCUAUUAAUUUUGAAACUUAUCCAAAAAUAAAUAUCCAUUUUGAAAGAACACAUCUUUUCUUUGAAAAAUAUUUAUAUAAGGAGAACUUAUCUCAUAAUAUCAUCACACAGAUAAAAAUAAGUACUUAUGCCAAAAUUUAAUUUGAAAAACGUCAACGCUGUGCAAAACACAUUCCUCUACAUGGCCUUAAUUAUUACAUCAUUUUUUGCAUAAUUAAAACCUACUACAUCACUACAAGAUGUACAUCAGAAAAAAUAAUAUUUUACAGCACGCGACGGGCUGGGCCAUGCACCCGCAAGCCUCCCUCACUGCUUCGGGUGCAUGCCCGCACUAGUAGCGGGCCCGUAUGGCGCGCGGGUGCAGGCCUGCAGCCGCAUCGGGCCGGGCCCGCACUGGUGCGCGCGAGUAGCAGCGGGCCGGCCCGUGCGCUGUUGGGGCGGGUGCUCACUGCGCCAUCAGCGGGCCGGGCCUGUGUGAUGCUCGCUGGGCCGCACUCCCGUCCGCAGCAGGCCUAGCCCGCGCGGUCGAGUGCACGCCGCCCCGCAGCGGGCCGGGCCCGCAACGGUGCGUGCCGGUCUGCGCCCGCAGCGUCCGCAGCGGGCCGGGCCCGGCGCGGUGCGUGCGGCCUGCGCCGAACCCGAAGCGCACCGGCAACGAAUAUAUAUAUAUAUAUUAUAAUUAACACAAUGCACAAAAGCGAACUGUCAAGAAAAAUUAAAACAUAUUUUAAUUUUCCUUUUCCUCUUUUAAUUUCAACAAAGAAACCAAAAAAAACUAAAUUAAAAACUGCAUAAAUUACGAUCAAUUUUGAAAAAACUAAUUCAGUUUUCUCUUACCUUCUUUAAUCGAAUUUCACAUAGAAAAACGAAAAAAAUUGUAGAGACUAAUCUACCCAUGAAGAAUUGAUCAGCGAAUGCGAUUUAAAACAUACCAACAUUAUCACAAGGCGAAAACAAGCAUGUAGGCUCUGAUACUAAUUGUUGGAAAUAAUAGGUAGCAGAAACUUACGAACCGGAAUAGCAACGUAUCCGGGAACCCAAAUCGGAUCUGGAUUACUUGUUUUACAAGCUUUCUUGAAUUGUCCUUAUCUGAUACUUCUGUGAUCUCCCACGUUUCACGCCUUCUCCUACGCCUAUGUCUCACGUUACGGAUUCGGUGUGCGUUAAAUGUUUGGAUGCGUUGAAUAGGGCUACCAGAGUCCUCUUCUAUGUUCACACUCCAAAACCUCGGGAACGUAGGUGGAAAUCCUAGGAGGAAGAAUGAGAGAAGAAGGAAAAUUUUUUGUAUUCAAUCAAUUCGUUUAUCUCUCUUUGAGAGAAAAGGGGCGUAUUAUACGAAUAACAAAACCCCUAAAUAUCCGAAUCCUACAAGGAUUAGGAUAAGGAUCGGAAUAUCUAUUAACAUAUAAUAGAUAUCCACAAAUAAAUUUGUUUCUUAACUGAUAAAAAUAUAAUAUUUAUUCUUAUCCUAAACUCAUAUAGGAUAAAUCAUGAUCGCACUAAUAUGGAUCGGAAUUAAAUCAUAAUCCGCCAAUGUGGACAUAGCAUAUGGCAACAAUUUGCAAUAUAUUGCAUAUAUAGUAUUUUAAUUAUUAUUUAUUUGACAUAAAUUGAUUUCAAAUAAAAUAAUAUUUUUAUGUGCUCAUAGAAGUACGUACGUCAAGUUAAGCCAUUAUAUAUAUAUAUAUAUAUAUUAAUAUAUAUAUAUAAUAUAUAUAUAUAUAUAUAUAUAUAUAAUAGCAUUGAGCUGGAAUAGCUAUUAUAGUAAACGCCUUUUUGCUAUCAAGUUUUAAGACCUUUGGAUGAAAAAUUUGAGGUCAGGAUGAUAUUAGUCAGUUAGAGUUAGUAGGUUCCCAGCUAGGGUUGAGUGGUUCCACUCGUUAUAGUUAUUUAAUCCAAUGGUUAGUAAUAAUGAAAAGAGUUGAUCAAAGGCUAAAAACUGGUAGCAACAAUGAGAUUUUGCUACUAAAUAGUAGCUCAGUCCAACUAUGCCAGCUACUAUCCUAUUAAUAGGAUGGAGACCAUCGUCCUAUCAAGUCGUUCUUGACGAUAGAGAUGCCGAAUCGAUGAUCGGAACCAUUAAAGUUGAUCUAGAGUAUUUGAAAUAUCUAGAAACUAAAUUUCAGAAAUUUUAAAAAUUAUUUACAUGGUGAUUAAAGGAUCGUAAAAUCGACAAUUUUUGACGGCCUAUAUCAGUCGUUUGCUUGUUUAACGGUGUAGAGUAGUCCAAACUGCUUGAAUUUUUGAUAGAAAAUUUUUUAUACUAUUUAGAUAAUAUUUGAUAACUCUGAUCAUGAUUUGAGAAAUUUUAAAAUCUAUUUUAAGAAGAUUAUUCAUUUAUGACCGUUCAUUUUUUUGACUCUUCGAUAGACUUGAUAAUGAUUUUCAAAAAUUACAAAAUUCGAUUUUUUAAUAUUUCUUUUAGUGUAGAUCAAUUUUAACGGUGCUGAUUAUCAAUUUGGAGUGUCGAUUAUUCAAAACGACUUGAUAGGACAAUGGUCCCAAUCCUAUUAAUAGGAUAGUAGCCUCUAUAUAUAUAUAUAUAUAGAGUCCNNNNNNNNNNNNNNNNNNNNNNNNNNNNNNNNNNNNNNNNNNNNNNNNNNNNNNNNNNNNNNNNNNNNNNNNNNNNNNNNNNNNNNNNNNNNNNNNNNNNNNNNNNNNNNNNNNNNNNNNNNNNNNNNNNNNNNNNNNNNNNNNNNNNNNNNNNNNNNNNNNNNNNNNNNNNNNNNNNNNNNNNNNNNNNNNNNNNNNNNNNNNNNNNNNNNNNNNNNNNNNNNNNNNNNNNNNNNNNNNNNNNNNNNNNNNNNNNNNNNNNNNNNNNNNNNNNNNNNNNNNNNNNNNNNNNNNNNNNNNNNNNNNNNNNNNNNNNNNNNNNNNNNNNNNNNNNNNNNNNNNNNNNNNNNNNNNNNNNNNNNNNNNNNNNNNNNNNNNNNNNNNNNNNNNNNNNNNNNNNNNNNNNNNNNNNNNNNNNNNNNNNNNNNNNNNNNNNNNNNNNNNNNNNNNNNNNNNNNNNNNNNNNNNNNNNNNNNNNNNNNNNNNNNNNNNNNNNNNNNNNNNNNNNNNNNNNNNNNNNNNNNNNNNNNNNNNNNNNNNNNNNNNNNNNNNNNNNNNNNNNNNNNNNNNNNNNNNNNNNNNNNNNNNNNNNNNNNNNNNNNNNNNNNNNNNNNNNNNNNNNNNNNNNNNNNNNNNNNNNNNNNNNNNNNNNNNNNNNNNNNNNNNNNNNNNNNNNNNNNNNNNNNNNNNNNNNNNNNNNNNNNNNNNNNNNNNNNNNNNNNNNNNNNNNNNNNNNNNNNNNNNNNNNNNNNNNNNNNNNNNNNNNNNNNNNNNNNNNNNNNNNNNNNNNNNNNNNNNNNNNNNNNNNNNNNNNNNNNNNNNNNNNNNNNNNNNNNNNNNNNNNNNNNNNNNNNNNNNNNNNNNNNNNNNNNNNNNNNNNNNNNNNNNNNNNNNNNNNNNNNNNNNNNNNNNNNNNNNNNNNNNNNNNNNNNNNNNNNNNNNNNNNNNNNNNNNNNNNNNNNNNNNNNNNNNNNNNNNNNNNNNNNNNNNNNNNNNNNNNNNNNNNNNNNNNNNNNNNNNNNNNNNNNNNNNNNNNNNNNNNNNNNNNNNNNNNNNNNNNNNNNNNNNNNNNNNNNNNNNNNNNNNNNNNNNNNNNNNNNNNNNNNNNNNNNNNNNNNNNNNNNNNNNNNNNNNNNNNNNNNNNNNNNNNNNNNNNNNNNNNNNNNNNNNNNNNNNNNNNNNNNNNNNNNNNNNNNNNNNNNNNNNNNNNNNNNNNNNNNNNNNNNNNNNNNNNNNNNNNNNNNNNNNNNNNNNNNNNNNNNNNNNNNNNNNNNNNNNNNNNNNNNNNNNNNNNNNNNNNNNNNNNNNNNNNNNNNNNNNNNNNNNNNNNNNNNNNNNNNNNNNNNNNNNNNNNNNNNNNNNNNNNNNNNNNNNNNNNNNNNNNNNNNNNNNNNNNNNNNNNNNNNNNNNNNNNNNNNNNNNNNNNNNNNNNNNNNNNNNNNNNNNNNNNNNNNNNNNNNNNNNNNNNNNNNNNNNNNNNNNNNNNNNNNNNNNNNNNNNNNNNNNNNNNNNNNNNNNNNNNNNNNNNNNNNNNNNNNNNNNNNNNNNNNNNNNNNNNNNNNNNNNNNNNNNNNNNNNNNNNNNNNNNNNNNNNNNNNNNNNNNNNNNNNNNNNNNNNNNNNNAUAUAUAUAUAUAUAUAUAUUAUAAUUACAAUGCACAAAGAAACUGAUCAAGAAAAAUUAAAACUAAUUUAAUUUUCCUUUUUCCUCUUUUUAAUUUCACAAAGAAACCAAAAAAAAACUAAAUUAAAAAACUGCAUAAAUUACGAUCAAUUUUGAGAAAACUAAUUCAGUUUUCUCUUCCUUCUUUUUAAUCGAUUUCACAUAGAAAAACGAAAAAAAUUGUAGAACUAAUCUACCCAUGAAGAAUUGAUCAACGAAUGCGAUUUAAAACAUCACAAGCAUGAUCACAAGGCGAAAACAAGCAUGUAGGCUCUGAUACUAAUUGUUGGAAAUAAUAGGGUAGCGGAAAUUUACGAACCGGAUAGCCAACGUAUCCGGGAACCCAAAUCGGAUUGGAUUACUUGUUUUACAAGCCUUCUUGAAUCGUCCUUAUCUUGAUACUUCUGGAUCUUCCACGUUUUACGCCUUCUCCUACGCCUAUGUCUCACGUUACGGAUCGGGUGUGUUGAAUGUGUUGGAUGCAUUGAAUAGGGCUACCAGAGUCCUCUUCUAUGUCCACACUCCAAAACCUCGGGAACGUAGGUGGAAAUUCUAGGGAGAAAGAAGAGAGAAGAAGGAAAAUUUUUUGUAUUCAAUCAUAUUCGUUCAUCUCUCUUUUGGAGAGAAAAGGGGGCGUAUUUAUAGAAUAACGAAACUCCUAAAUAUCCUGAAUCCUACAAGGAUUAGGAUAAGGAUCGGAAUAUCUAUUAACAUAUAAUAGAUAUCCACAAGUAGAUUUGUUUCUUAACUGAUAAGAAACAUAAGAUUUAUACUUAUCCUAAACUUAUUAGGAUAAAUCAUGAUCCACACCUAAUAUGGAUCGGAUUAAAUCAUAAUCCGCCAAUGUGGACAUAGCAUAUGGCAACAAUUUGCAAGUAUAUUGCAUAUAUAUAGUAUUUUACAUUUAUUAUUUAUUGACAAGAAAUUGAUUGUUCAAAUUAAAAUAAAUAUUUUUAUGUGCUCAAUACAGCAAGUACGUACGUCAAGUUAAGCCAUUAUAUAUAUAUAUAUAUAUAUAUAUAUAUAUAUAUAUAUAUAUAUAUAUAUAUAUUCUUUUUCGUUUAAAUUUGAACAAGAAAAUUCUAUCUUUAUCACUGUUUAGAAUAGUAUUGUAGGUUUUAGUUGAAAAGAUAGCCCAAAGCAUAUUAGUACUUAAUGCGUUCGCUAGUUUGAUAAUUCACAAACGUUCGAUUCGUCAAAGUACGGCUUAUUCUCUGCGUGACCUAGCGCUUGUGUUAAUCGAGAACAACCAAGGAGUUAAGACGACUUAUUCUCGGUAUCUAUGACGACACAGACAAUUAAUAUACACUGCAAUAAUACGCGCGAUUAGCUGUUUCGCGAGAGCACAUUAGUGUGCUCUAUAUGAUAUGAUAGGGAUAAUAAUUCGAAUUCGAUAGCGUCUUCCGAAUCCUUGCACGCGAGGCACAUUUGAUACACUACUUGAUUUUUCAUACUUACGUAGCUAUCAUAACUACUUGACAUCUUAAAAAUAAAUAUCUUAAUUUGUUUGAGAAUUUAUAUGGGAGUAAUACACUUUAACCACCUGAAUUUACAUUUAUUAUCGCGGCAGUUAGCAAUUAAGGUGUAGAAAAAUAUCGUUGAGAUGUCUAAUCACUUGAUUAAGACCAUGUAAUUAGGCCCAAAUUUGUGAAAGUUCACAUCUUAAUUAAAAGGCUACACCACUUGCUUUCAUUGCCAGGUUGAUCAAGCUGUGUAAUUAGGCCUGUGUCUCAACCAAGACCAUUUAUUUCUCAUGUAUUAGAUAGUGAAAUAAUGAGUACGGCUACUAUACUAUGGAUAACACCAAAUACCUGGUGCUAUCAGUUUUUUACUGUUAGAUCUAUUCCUUUAACUAUUUAUACUGAUUAGAUCAUAGUAUUCAACCAACCACCAACUCAACUCUAGGAGACCACUAUCAUCCGAACAGCAUAUUCCCUCAUCCAAGGGCCGAAAACCUAAUAACACCAAUGACUUGGUGCUAUUAAUAAUAUAGUAGCCUAAUUCGUGAAAUAAUAUACAAUUUAUAAUAUAAUGAGUUGAGCUCCUCUGCUUUUAAAAGUAUGGGAGAAUUUGUGCUUAUGGCUUUUUAACUUUUGGAUCGUUUUAAGACUCAUACAGCAUUAUUAACGGUAUGCCCCAUUAAGUCCUCUUGACCAGUGCUGCAUGAAUCUUGAGGUGAUCUGACGAUUAAAAAAUCACAAGCACAAGAUGCUCCGGUGCUUUUAAAAGCACAGGAACUCAAUAGAUGAUAAAUUAAUGUACUGAAAAAUGAGAAGAGAUAAUUAAUCCAAAAACCCUAAAUUUACCUUGUAAAUAGAACCCCCAAAAAAUGAAAAAAUUUCCUUCCAAGAAAUUAAUAGUUUCUCUUGUAAGAUCCAAUCAACCAUUCUUUGAAUUAACUCAAGCAGGUGGAUCAAAUAAAUCAAUUUAAUUUAAAAUAAAACAUUAUAACACUAUCUCUCUCACCUAGAUAUGUUAGUGGGCCAAGAUGAACUAAGUGGCCCAACUCACCCAAAUACUUAAAAAAGUAUAUUUUUCAAAUCUCAAUUUCAAAAAAUUCAAAAUAGCANUAAUUAUAUUAAUUUUUAUUUAUUAUAAUUUAUUAUUCACUAUAAGUUACAAAAUAGACAAUGAUAUCACUUUGGAGGUAAGUAUACCGGGGGUGAAAAUCUACACUUUUUACGUCAUCUGCUUUCUACCAAAUAAACAACAAAGCUCGCAGAACUGUACUUUCACAAUUAGAAACAAACAGCAGAAGUGAACUAAUUUUCUCUCCAACUCCACUUCAACCCAAAGUCCAUUUCCAUCCCAAGUCUACUUACGUUGAAACAAACAUGCUUAAGCCAAACUCAAGCUUUGCUCGUCUAUGUAUACUAGCUCAACUCACCCGUUGUAUAUUUUUAAGCUUAAAGGAAGCGGAUACAAGGGAAUUGCGCUUUUAAUGGUAUAGUAUAUAUGGAUCCAAAGGCCCAAAAGUCAAAAGUUUAUGCUUUUAAUAGUAUAGUAGCUCAGCUCAUUUUGAUGUGUCAAUUUUGAAAACCCAUUUUGUUUUUGUCCUAACUGUUGGAAAUCCGGUACUCCCCCUAUUAUCGAAUUUUGAAAAUCCGUAAUUCGUUCCGAUAUCAAUUGCUGUUGAUCUGAUACUGAUUGUUUGAAUUCUGCAACGAAAACGUCGAAUCGGAUUUUUACGAUAAACCCGUCUUUUCAGCAAAAUCUAAUACAAUCACAAAGAAAAGAAAAAAACUAAACUGAAAAUAUGAAGAUAAAAUAAGAUUUAUUAAAUAAGAAAAGAUUACACCUGACUUCUCUUCUGUAACAGAAUGGUUACAACUCGAGCUUUCUUUUGAAUCUUUCUUAUCCUUCUUUCAUCUUCUAUAAACCCAUAAAAAAAAUAACUCUCUCUUUUUCUCUCUUACAUGCCCCUGUGCACUUAAAUGCAUACAACUGGGCUUAGUCUUCUCCACGUUAUGGUCACCAUCAUAAAAAGCUCUCAGUCAUUCGUACCCAAGAUGUACCCAAAUCCUAGCACUAACAUUUAUAGAUUUUUUUUUUUUUGGGAAGCUUUCCACACCAUUAUGUGAUUUAUCAUUGUUUUAUUUUGGUAUUUUAUAGUUUUAAGGGAAAACUUCAAAAACCCCCCCUGUGGUUUCGUGCAUUCUCACUUUGCUACCCUGUGGUUUAAAACGUAUCAAUUUACCCCCCUGUGGUUUCAUUUUUAUCUUUUCGAAAGCUUUUUCGUUAAUAUUUCGUUAAAUUAUAUACAAAAAACUUCAGAUAACCAUCUAUAUUUAUCGAAUAGUCACUUUAGUAUCCUUUAAUUUUAACUUUGUCACUGAUUUUAAAAAAUAAUAAUAAUAAAAUUGAUAACAAAAAAAUAGAAACGAAACCACAGGGGGGCAAAUUGAUACGUUUUAAACCACAGGGUAGCAAAGUGAGAAUGCACGAAACCACAGGGGAGGUUUUGAAGUUUUCCCUAAUUUUAUUGUAGAGGAGUAAUUGUAUAAUCAAUAAUGUUACACUCAUUACAUAAAAGAAACUAAAAGGAGCUCUGAGUUUUCGUCUCUGCGCUCCCAUCUCAUUCCCGGAAUUCGAACCUUCGCCGGCGACAUUGCCGGCAGCAAGUUUUGCUGAUGCUCAAAGUUUGUCUGCGAGCAAUUCUACGUCGGUGAAUUCAUCUUUCUCUUGUCGUAUCUUGCGGCUUCAUCUCCUUCGCCAGAGUUCAAACCUUCGCCGGCGACGUUGCCGGCAGCCAACUUCGUCGGCGCCUGAAACUUCGCCGGCAGCCAGCUUCGCCGAUAUAGAUUGCGUGCCGAUGAAGCUUUGAGCACCAGCAUAGUUGGCGGCCGACAAAUUUUCAGGCACCGGCGAGCGAGAUGGCAGCGCAAAGGCGAAAACUCUUAGUCGCUUGGGCCCCAGUUCAUUUCUCUCUCAAAUGGAAUUUCGCAUUCCCUCUCAGGGAACAAGAUUAGUGCAUAAAUAAAAUGCUGUGGGUAUAGAAAUAGUGUUGAAUGUAUAAUACGAUAUAUGCUUGGUGAAUUCCAGCAUUACAAUAACAAGCAAAUCUAAAGAUCGAUUAGUUUGAGCUCCUUUCACUUUUACAAUAAAUUCACAACAUUUUUUUAAGUAUUUUUGUUAUUUUUUCGACACACUAAAGAAAAUAUCCAAACAACUUUCCAUAAAUAUAAACACCACCCAAAAUUUACUUCAGAUAUAUUUAGUAGCUAAAAUGAACAAAAAAACCGUGCUAAAACUCACUACUUUUAAAUAUUUAAAAAUAAUAACCAUGCCAAAGCUGAAAAAACAUGGACCCAAAACCACUAAAUUUUACUAGAGACAAUCUAUUAAGCAUAUCUGGAGUUUCAUUUAUUAACAACGAAAAGGUUUUAUAAAACAGAUUGUGCAACUGCCCCUGAAUUCUAUCAAAGUGUCCUCGAAUUCUCAACUGUCAAAUUCAAGCAUUUCACACCCCAAACUCAGGAAAAGUUGUCUAAUUAUCAUCCUUUCUAUAAAAACUUAGGUUACCACAUCUAACAUUUCCCGAUUUUUGAUGAGACUAAAGAUGGAAAUGGAUGCCGACGUAUGACAUGGUGCAGUCAAAGAAACAACCAUUCAUGUUGGUAUCCAAAUCUGAAUUCGACAAAGUCGAAGAGGUAAAAAAUACCUAGUGGCAAACUAGUUUCAUACAAACACAAACCAACAAAACAACACCAAACAGAUUCAAUCAGAGACUGCGAAGUUGCUAUCACCGAAAAUAAAAAGCCAAUAAAAAUGUACCGCUUGAUGACCAGUUAUUAACACCANAGUUGACCACAAAAAAAAUGAAGUUAUUGUUGUGGUUAAAAAAUACAUAGCAUAUCUCUCUCUCUCUCUCUCUCUCUCUCUCUCUCUCUCUCUCUAAUAUAUAUAUAUAUAUAUGCACCUCACUAAAUGGAAAACUCAACCACAAGCAAUCUAUACCGGCCUCCUCUUCAAGCCUCAGCAAAUCUCCUCUCUCAAGGUUUGCAAAACUCUCUCUCUCUCUCUCUCUCUCUCUCUCUCUCUCUCUCUCUCAUCUUUAUCUUUGACUUUCAUUUUUCUGUAUUUUUUCUUCUCUUUGUUCUCAGCAGCUAGCUAGCCUUUGAUAUUUAGUAAAAUUAGUACAUGUAUGUGACUAGUUAUUACUUCGAGUUCAGCUCAGAAAAAGUCACACUAACAAACAAUAGUGCAAAUAUUUAUUCUGCAUCUCAGUUUUCUUUAUAACUAAUCUAAAAUUGCAACCCAAAUGUCUAAUUAGUUACAGAUUUCAUUCAAAGUGUAUUGCAUAUAUGCAUGGUUUCUGUAAGUUAUAAGAUAGCUUCAUCUAAGUCAAAAUCUUCUAGUUUUAGCAAAGGCUAAUUAAGUACAGCUUAAUGAAUGUAAUGAAUAUUGUUUUCCCUAAUUAAUUUUUGUUUCUAUAUUUGGUUUUAGUUAAUCGAGCUAGAAUUUUUAGCAAAUUAAACACAAAUUUGGAUAUUUGUAUAUUUGUGUUUUGGUGUUUGUAUUAGCAGGGAAGAAACUAGACUUUCGGUUUGGAAGGGGUAAGAAUACAUAAUAUAUUUAUUGUAAAAAAAAAUUAUAAAAAAAUCAUAAUAAAAGUUUCAAUGUGUAAGGUACAAGCUUUUUUGGAAAAAAAAAAUCACUUAUAACUUCUAGAAUUUGUACUUAUGUAAUUUUCAAAAGGGUAAACUUCAAAUUGUGGCCCUUUGGUUUAGAACAAGUUUGUAGUUCAUAAGGUUUCACUUUGGCCCUACUUUUUAUUUUAUCAAAAAAUUCUACAUGAAAAAGGAUGACAAAGUAAAAAUUUUUAAAAAAUCAUAAAAUGUCGAAGUAAAGUAAUACAGUAAACCACGGUCGGGCGAAUUACAACUUUUUAAACUAUAGCGUGACAAAGUGAAAAAUAAAUUAAACCACAAGGGGAUAGUCUCUCAAUCGCUCUAUUCCUGUGUACUAGUACGGAUGUAUUUAAAUUAAGGAAUGAUUGUUUAUAGCUUUUCAUAAACAUAUCGAAUAGCAGAUAUAUAUCUAUAAAGUUUAAGUUUCAAAUUUAUCAUUAAAAAAGUUGUAACGGUUUCAAAUAUACCCAUACUGUUUGUGUCCGUUAGAAAAAUAUAGUUAAUCAUAGAUAAAAUACUUAGUGUGUGAGAUAAAUUGACCUUUUUUUUCUUAUGAUAUUAUUUUUUUUUCCCUCAAUCAAAAUCCUAGUUUGAUUAAAACCCUAGCAAUGGAAAUUUUUCUUCCUCUUCCUCAUCCUCUCUCUCCUUUAUGCUAGUUUCGAGUUCGUAACUACGGUUUUUCUAUCCCUAUUCGUUUACAACGUGUGUUGCUUUACCCAUAUCAAGUGUCGGGAAGUCAUAGAUAGGUAAAGGAGAAGAUGUUUGAGAGAUGUAGAGAAAAUGUUGCAAUAAUGAUAGAUUAGAUUAGUUUUUAUAGAGGAAGAAGCUAGAUGACCAUUGAAAUUUUUUUUGAAAGGAUAUUUCUGUACGAUUCUAACAGUUGGGCAUUUAGAGGGACUUAUUUGUAAUAAGCAAAAUUAAUAUUUUACUUAGCUUUUGUUUAAAAAUAAACAGCCAGCUAACGGUAACACAAAGGGACAAAUAUGAAUAUCCCUAAACUUUUGAAAGGACAAAUAUGAAAACUUCAACUUUCUAGAGAUAUAUCUACUAUCCGAUAUGCUUAUAAGGAGCGUGUACGAAAUUACCCCUUAAAUUAAGUACGAUCUAUAAUAGACACUAAAAUUUUAAAAUAAAAUGUCUUUGUUUCUUAUUUAUUAUUAUGUAUACACUAUGGAAUAGUCAAUUUAAGUCUUAUUAAUAUAGNUGACUAUUCCAUAGUGUAUACAUAAUAAUAAAUAUGAAAACUUCAACUUUCUAGAGAUAUAUCUACUAUCCGAUAUGCUUAUAAGGAGCGUGUACGAAAUUACCCCUUAAAUUAAGUACGAUCUAUAAUAGACACUAAAAUUUUAAAAUAAAAUGUCUUUGUUUCUUAUUUAUUAUUAUGUAUACACUAUGGAAUAGUCAAUUUAAGUCUUAUUAAUAUAGGCACAGAAAACAAAAAUUAGUCUUGAUUUAAAAUGAAAUGACGAGAGAAGGCAUUAAUUAUAAGUCUAAACAACUUGGAUUUUUUAAAACUAUCAAUUAGAUGAUUCUUUUAGUAUCGAUCCUUUUAAAUUACAAUUGUGAUUCAGGUUAAUUGUUGAUCCUAAAUUCCAAAUAGAAUAGCUUAUAAAAUAAGGCACUAUUUUUUUUUUAGUUUUAUUGGUCGACCCGCUCCACAAAUUAAUGCAACUGGCCAUAAUUUGCGGAGUCAAACUAGAUUUGCAGAGUCAAUUGUAAAAAGUUUUGUUUAUCAGAGGUUGCAUGUAUUUCCAUUACGGCUCUGUUUGGAUAUCAGAAUAAGAAAUUCAUUGACAAUUUACGUAGAAUGAAAAUCUUUUUGUGCUUUCGAAAGUUUGAAGUUUGAUUUUUUUUUUUUUAUCCUUCUUGAACUUUGUUUUGAUGUCAGUAUAGGUUAUUCAAAAAUAAUACAUUUGGUAUGAGAAUUUUGUUGUGUGACUGAAAGUUAGGAGUUUAAUUUUUGCUCUUUGGAGGCCUAGUUUGGAUGUACGGAAAUCUUAUUUAGCACAUUUCUCAGAUUUAUUUGAGGAGCUUGUAUAUUUGGUAGAUGAAGAGUGUGAUCAGACUUUCAAGUUAUUUUUUCGAAUAAGAUAAUUAAUUAUCUUAUAGGUAAAAUAUACUAUUCUAUCAAAUUAUGAGUAUCAAAAAAAUUUAAUUAGCAAAAAUCAAAUGCACGUUUUAUAAUCAUAUUAGAAAAUUUUUAUCCUGAUAAGUUAUCCUAGGAUAACUUUUAUGACUUUCAAAAAGGGUAAAAAUGUUCUGAUAUUUAUAAUUUGAUAGAAUAGUAUAUUUUACUUACGAAUUAAUUUAUUUUAUUUCAAGAAAAUAAUUUAAUUUAAGGCCGGCCAAAUAUACUAUUCCAUUUGAGACAUUAAUCACACUCUCAUUUUACCAAGUACUAUAAGCUUCUCCAUUAAAUCAAAAAAAAAUUUCUAAACAAAACAAGCAUGCAUCCAAAUAGAGCUAAAAGUCUUGAUAUUUAUAAUUUAAUAUGAUAAUAUAUAUAUAUUUUUUAUAGAAGUUGUUUUAUCUUAUUUCGAAAACAGACUCAAAACCAAGAAUAUUUUUUAUUUUAGACAUUUGAUAAUAAUUUCUCAUCUACCGAGGAGUAGGUCAAAUUAAUAUAUGUGUCGAAUAAAAUAUUUGUGCAACCUAACAGUGUAGACAUGUUUGUGACUUUUCACACUUUAAACGAAAACUAUUUUUGAGUAUAAAAUUUUCCUUUCUUUGUAAUCAAACCUACAAGUUGACUAGAGAAGUUGCUGUGGAACUACACUGGAGUAGGGAUGCAAACGGGGCGGAUCCGGAGGCGGGAGAGUUUCCCCACCUUCCGCUUCAUUUCUUAUCGGGGUGGGACGGAUUCGGGGCCGGUUACUUUUCAUUUUAUUUUUGACUCUUACUUACCAUUCCAUUCGGGGCGGAUCGGGGCGGGAGCUGAAUUUUUGACGGAUCGGGGCGGAUUGAAGGAAGAAAAGAGUCUCCCACCUCCCCCUCCAUUUACUUGGCGGAUCGGGGCGGAUUCGGGACGGGUUAUAUUUUUUUAUAUUUUUUGUUCCCACUUACCACCCCAUUCGGGGCGGAUCGGGGCGGAGCUCCACCAACCCGGAUCCAUUUGCAUCCCUACACUGGAGUUCUCUCUCACAAAUAUUCUUAUUAAAAAAUAAACACUUUUAUUUAUUUAUUUAUUUAUUAAGAGAAAGGUAAUAAGCUAUAUCCGUCUUCGUUUAUAUCUUAAAAAAAAAAAAUUCAAUUAGGAAAAUAAAAUAAAAAAGUUUCAACCUUGGAACCUUAGUACUUACCAUCAAAUUAAUUCUUAACCAAUACUAUUAGGUGCAAUUAGCAACAUAACUUUUUUCUUAUUGGUGUUAAAAAUGUACGUAAUUUAUUUGAACUAUGAAUUAUGGAUCAUUUUAGAUCGACUAUCUAAUCUUUCAAAAUUUUGAUUUUAUUACUUAAUCUUUCAAUUUAUUUAAUUUGAAUUAAUUCUUCAAUGAUAUUUUGGCUUUAAAAUUUAAAUUAAUUACUUAUUUUAAUAAAUUUAUAACGGUGAGAAUUGUAUAAAUUAAGUAUACUGCCUAACCAUUUAAAGAUAGACCCUGUAUUCCAAAAUUGAAUCAAUAUAUUGUCAACCGACUCAGAUCAAAUAAAUUAAAGGAAAAACUUUAAAUACCCCUCCUGUGGUUUAGCACUUUCUCAGUUUAGCAUCUUAUAGUUUAAAGUGUAUCAAGUUAGUACCCUGUGGUUUCGCACCUUCUCACUUUAGUACCAUGUGGUUUUAAGUGUAUCAAGUUAGUACCCUGUGGUUUUAUUUUUGUAUCAAGUUAGUAUCAUGUGAUUUUAAUUUUUUCUUUCUUUUAUCCUCGUCGAGGUAUAUAAUUUAAUAAAAUAUUAAAUCACAUGGUACUAAAGUGAGAAAGUGCAAAACCACAGAGUACUAACUUGAUACACUUGAAACCACGUGGUACUGUGGUACUAAAGUGAAAAAGUGCGAAACCACAUGGUAUUAACUUGAUAUAAUUUAAACAAUAUAGUACUUAAAUGAAAGAGUAUAAACCUACAAGGGGGUAUUUGAAGUUUUUCCAUAAAUUAAAUAGUUAGAUAGUAAAAUUAAAAUUUUAAGAAGUUAACCAGUCAACGCAAGAAAGUCCUUAGAUCUUAUAAUUUGUGGGCUAGCUUCUAGUCCUGCGCCGCUUGAUCAGUUUGAGAAAUUUUUGAAAAACUACAUGCAGGUCAGGUAGGAACUUAAGCAAAAACUGCUACUAUCACCACCACUGCCGCCGCUGCCGCCACCGCCACCGCCGCGACCGUGACCGCCAUGGGUCGGACGGAGCUGAAUGUUCUGAGCAAGCUCGACGGGGCGAAGACGCAGCUGUACCACUUCACGGCGAUCGUGAUCACCGGCAUGGGGUUCUUCACCGACGCCUACGACCUCUUCAGCAUCUCCCUCGUCACCAAGCUCCUCGGCCGCAUCUACUACUACGACCCCUCCUACCCGGCCCCCGGCAUCCUCCCCCCCAACGUCGCCGCCGCCGUCAAUGGCGUCGCCUUCUGCGGCACCCUCGCCGGCCAGCUCUUCUUCGGCUGGCUCGGCGACAAGCUCGGCCGCAAGUCCGUCUACGGCUUCACCCUCCUCCUCAUGGUCCUCGCCUCCCUCGCCUCCGGCCUCUCCUUCGGCCACUCCGCCAAGGGCGUCAUGGCCACCCUCUGCUUCCUCCGCUUCUGGCUCGGCUUCGGCAUCGGCGGCGACUACCCCCUCUCCGCCACCAUCAUGUCCGAGUACGCCAACAAGAAAACCCGCGGCUCCUUCAUCGCCGCCGUCUUCGCCAUGCAGGGCUUCGGCAUCCUCGUCGGCGGCAUCGUCUCCCUCAUCGUGUCGGCCGCCUUCAAUGACCGCUACCACGCUCCGCCCUUCAGCCAGGACCCCGCGGGCUCCACCGUCCCGCAGGCCGACUACGUGUGGCGGAUCAUCCUCAUGUUCGGCGCCGUCCCCGCCGCGCUGACCUACUACUGGCGGAUGAAGAUGCCCGAGACCGCGCGCUACACCGCGCUCGUCGCCAGGAACGCGAAGCAGGCAGCGGCCGACAUGUCCAAAGUACUGCAGGAAGAAAUCAGGGAGGAUGACACUGAGCUUGCAGAGCAGCCGACGGUCGCCGACGACUGGGGCUUGUUCUCGCCGCAGUUCGCUCGGCGCCACGGCAUCCACCUCCUGGCGACGUCGACGACGUGGUUCUUCCUCGACAUCGCGUACUACAGCCAGAACCUAUUCCAGAAGGACAUCUUCAGCAAGGUCGGGUGGAUACCGCCGGCGGGCAGCAUGAACGCCGUCGAGGAGGUGUUCCGCAUCGCCCGCGCGCAGACGCUCAUCGCCCUCUGCGGCACCGUCCCCGGAUACUGGUUCACCGUGGCGUUCAUCGACGUGAUCGGACGGUUCUGGAUCCAGGUGAUGGGCUUCUUCAUGAUGACCGUGUUCAUGCUCGGCCUCGCGGUCCCCUACCACCACUGGACGACGCCCGGGCACCACGUCGGGUUCGUGGUCAUGUACGCGUUCACCUUCUUCUUCGCCAACUUCGGGCCGAACGCGACGACGUUCAUCGUGCCGGCCGAGGUGUUCCCGGCACGGCUGCGGUCGACCUGCCACGGGAUAUCGGCGGCGGCGGGGAAGGCGGGGGCGAUCGUCGGGGCGUUCGGGUUCCUCUAUGCGUCGCAGGGGAAGGCGCUGGCGGAGAGGGACCGCGGGUACCCGGCGGGGAUCGGGAUACGGAACACGCUGUUCGUGCUCGCGGCGUCGAACUUCCUCGGCCUCGCCUUUUCGCUGCUGGUGCCGGAGGCCAAGGGGAGGUCGCUGGAGGAGAUGUCCAAGGAGAACGAGGGGGAGGAUGAGUUUGUCAUGGAUAAAGCUCCUUAAAAGUUAAUUACGUAAUUAAAAAAAAUAAUAAUAAUUUGUGAAAUAUGUACAUGUAUUCCAUCCCUUGCCUCAAUUUGAACUUUGAAGCUUUUCUUGCAUGUGUGUGGUUUAUGAACAUUUGUUCAUUUUGCAAGUCUCUGCAGUUUCUUUUUCUUUCUCCUAAAAGGUCGAAUAUGAUAUCCUACUGCAGCUAUUUUCUUUUACCGUCUUCAAUCAUCAAAUAUUAUAAAAUUUUAUUUAAAUAUCAAAAUAAAAUUUCUAAUAAUAAUAUAUUCGGUAUAAAAAUAUUUUUGUGUGAUUAAAAAUCAGGAGUUUAAGUUUUGCCCUUGAGAUAGUUUGGCAUGUAUAAUUUGGUAGAUUUUUUUUUUUUGAGAGAGAGGUAACGUGUUACCCGCUUUAUUUAUUUUUUUAGAAAUAAAUUUAGCUGGAAAUGUGAAACAAUCAUAUUUCAAAUUUGAAAUCUCGAAUAUCAACCACCAAGUCUUUAGCCACUUGCGCUGGGGACAGAUAGCGCGCUUUCUCCAAAAAAAAAAAAAAAAAAAAAAAAAAACAGAAUGCAUAUAGUUACAAAUUUACAAUUGCUGCAUUUNAAAAAAAAAAAAAAAAAAAAAAAAAAUGAAGGCCGAAUACCAUACCAAGGAGAAGGGAAGUGGCUAGACCAGCUCAAGUUUUGGGCUAGCCAAAGGCCUAGGCCUAGCUUCUUUGGGCUAGCUCGAAUCGUACCGACACGGCCCACAUUGCAACAAAAAAGAGUUGUGAGGCCAGCGACUCAAUUUAUCAUUCUACCCUCGUCCCCUACGCCUCUCUUUGCCCUUCGCCCCCCGCGAAGCAGCGCGUCGCUCGAUCCCGCGCCCCGCGCCCGCGAUGGUGCACAGCGCGUACGACUCCGUGGAGCUCCUCCGCGGCUGCCCCGCCCGGAUCGACGCCGUCGCCUCCUACGCCUCGAAGCUCCUCCUCGGCUGCUCCGACUCCUCCCUCCGCAUCUACUCCCCCCGCUCCCUCUCCUCCUCCGACGACGCUUCGGCAUCCUCCGCCGCCGCCGCCGCCGAUGCCGCCGCCGCCGAGAUCCGCCGCGACUCCUACGCCCUCGAGCGCGCCAUCCCGGGCUUCUGGAGGCGCCCGCCCCUCGCCAUGGAGGUGUCCGCCUCCCGCGACCUCCUCCUCUCCCUCUCCGAGUGGGUCGCCCUCCACCGCCUCCCCUCCCUUGAGACCCUCGUCGCCGUCGCCAAGACCAAGGGCGCCUCCGUCUACAGCUGGGACGACCGCCGGGGCCUCCUCUGCGUCGGCCGCCAGAAGCGCGUCGCCAUCUACCGCCUCGACGGUAACGCCCCCAUCCCUCCUCCACAACCCCUCUUCUUCAGGUCUCAAUCGAGACGCGUGGUCGCAGUGUCUAAACGUUUUAUUGCAAUUGAUUCUAACAACCUUUCGAAUCGUCGUAGUGCCGACAUCCAACAAUGUAAUUGCGAAUGUUUUGGCUACAAGCUUUAUAUGCAGAGGAAAAGGGAAGAUCUUUGAUAGUUUUCUAUUCCAGAUUUCUUAUAUCCUAAUAUAAAGGUGAUUGAUAUAAUGCAAACUGAUUUAUAAGUUGAAUGGACCUGAAAAACCCCGGUUUUUAUGGCAGAAUUUCUUACAAAGGUCGUGUUUUUAUUAGUUUAGACUUAAGAAGCAGUUCUGAUCACUUGAUAUUUAUUGGUUACUUGCCUCUUCAAUGGAACAUUUUUCAGGUCGAAGAAAUGAUUCUGACUUCCUUUUGAGGUUAAAUUGGCGUAAAUAUGUAUUUAAUUUGGAAUAUCUAGAUCACUUUCCUUUAUGCCGGGCCAACAAUUCGCCUACUGGAGAUUGGGGUAUUCAGAACUGUAGGUUAAUUUAAUAAUUUACCAGCCAACAAUUCAAGAACUGAGGGGCAAUUUAACAAUCUGUCUACCGGCCAACAAUUCAAGAAGUGCGGGGCAAUUUAACAAUUCACCUACUGGGUAACAAGUCUAGAAAGAGUUACUAAAACCUGAAAUCGGAGUAAUUUCUGUGUAAAACUAUCUGAUUAAGGCAUCUAGAAGGCAGUUAUGUACUUAUAGUAUAUUUAUGUCUCUUUUUUCUUUUAGUUAUCGUUACCUGUGAGAUAUGAUGGUUCGUGCAUCAAUAGGGUUCUUACCUGGUGCUCUAUAUAUGGUCUUUCCCUUGGUCAUCGUAAUCUUUGCAACUUAAAAUGUUCUGCUUUGGUUAGGUGGUCGAGAGUUUGUGGAAGUAAAGGAGUUUAGCGUUCCUGACGUGGUUAAGUCUAUGGCUUGGUGCGGGGAGAACAUAUGUCUGGGGAUUAGAAGGGAAUACAUGAUUAUGAAUAGCUUGACUGGUUCAUUAUCCGAAGUUUUCCCUGCUGGGAGGAUAGCUCCUCCAUUGGUUGUCCCUCUUCCGUCAGGGGAGCUGCUUCUCGGAAAGGUACUUUUUUAUUUAUGCUUUUGUUUUUUUUUUCCGGGUCAUUUUCCUCCGUGGCAAUUUUAAAUUUUUAUCGCAAAUGUUCUCUUAUGAAAAAGGCAUGAUCAUCUACAUUUUUAGCAUUUAAUGUGUAACAUGGUUCUGAUUUUUUGCUUUUUUUAACUUGAUUUAGUAAUCAGUAACUUUUGCUUAUGAGAUUCAUGUAUUCUUGUUUUGUCUCUCUCAGGUAAUUUUCUUUGAUAAGGACACGCAGAUUCUAGUAUCGCUAAAUGAUGUUUCUCUAUUUUCUUUUCUCCUUGUAAUUAGCACAUGUAAACUGUAGUAUCACUAAUGUUUCUCAACACUCUAUUAUUAUCCACAAAAUUAGGAAAAUGUAGAUUCUGCAUCCUUAAUUGGUCUUCUAUUCUCCAUGUAAUCUCUUUAAGAGUAAAUUUUAUUGUGUAAUUGUUGGCUACUGGAUCAAACUCUAAGGUCUAUGUAUCAUGCUAAAAUGAUACUAUGCUAAAAUAUAGAAAAAGAGUUUAAUACUUGUUAAAUUGUUAAUCAAAUAAAAAAACCUCAUAUGGCACAUCUUAAAGCUUUACAAGUCUAUUUACAAGCAUUGUCUUAGCUGUUGUACUUUUCUAGUAGUUGUUCUAGUCCGUGCAGUGGAGUAAAUUAUUCCAUGAUAGCAAGUUCCUUCGUUGAAUAAUGCCUUCUUCCACCAUGAUCUGGAUCUUUGAGGAGUAUAGUGCAUGUUGAUUAUUGCUUUGAUUCUUUGAACUGCAUGACCUUUAAACGCUUACUUUAUAUUGCAAGUUUUCCUACUAACUAGUUGGCCUUUACUGUUUUUUUGUGAGCAUUCCUCUCUGUUUCCUUGCCUCCACUUAGGACUCAGAAAUAUGUACCAUUUAGUUCUGGGCAGAGAAAAAGUACUUUUUUUGUGGUCAUGGCAUUAAUUAACCAUAGGUUUGGAUUGCUAACCUAUUUUAACAUGUGGAGUUAGGGUAUUAAGGCAAUCCAUGCAGCUAAUAGGUGCACUUUUCAUGACCUGGCUUAACGGGAAAAAUAUCAUCACAUCAUGUGACACUCCAAUAGUCCCGCAUCGGAUGGAAAUGGGGUUGUCAUUGGGUAUAUAAGAGGACUCCACCAUAAUAAUAAUAACUGGACUUAAGCAUUUUUGGCCGGUGGUUUUGGCCCAACGAGUUAUUAUUGCUAGUAGGCCGGAUCGUUAUACAUCAUCACUCACGCUCAUUGAAUAUGAUUCGGUUACCAAUGGAAAGUAGUAUAUAAAUAUUUUAGAUUUCUUCCUUGUCAUUCUACUAGUACCUAAUGCAUUUUGGUCUUUUCAUUGGCUUGUUGAAAUUAAUCUUUUGAUUUGCUAUUUUACAGGACAACAUUGGUGUAUUUGUUGACCAAAAUGGGAAGCUUCUACAAGAUGGCAGGAUAUGUUGGUCCGAGGCUCCUGGAUCUGUUGUCAUCCAUAAACCGUAUGCUAUAGCUCGCCUACCCAGACAUGUCGAGGUGGCUCAAGCAUUUUACUUAUAGUUGAGAUAGGUACAUUAAUCCAUUGCUAUCGUUGCAUUAGAUUUAUAUGGCCUAAUGCAUAAAUUAUUGCAGGUACGGUCGCUUAAAGCUCCCAAUCAACUGGUUCAAACAAUUGUUCUCCGUGAUGUUCAUCUGCUUCUUCAAACCAACAAUUGUAUACUCGCUGCAUUAGGCAAUUCUGUUUAUGGUCUAUUGCCUGUCCCUCUUGGCGCGCAGGUAUAUCCUCUAUCACUUGAGUUUUAUUGCUUCCAUCAUUCAUUUUGUCAACACAUAUUUGUAUCAACUCUACUGUUAUAUUAUUUUUCUCGCAAUACUAGGAAGCUAAUUUAUCUAAAUAUCUGUGUGCCCAUUUUAAUGUCUUAUCUCUUAAUGUAUCCAUAUGGGAAAUGUUGUGCAAGGUAAUUCUUUGUUUGGUUUAUCAGGUUUGAUUGUCCAAUAUAGAAAAAGUGCCAUAGGUGGGAAAGAUGAGAAGAGAGGAAAAUGAAAUGGGGGGAGCAGGAGUCACUUUGGGUAGGGAAAGAUAUAGGAAAUAACCAUAUCCUUUUUAAUUAGGGAUUGCCCUACUGUGCUGAGGCCGUGGCGACAUGUGGCAUGGGAUCGUGCCGACACUGUAUCAACAAAAUAAUAAUUUUUUCUUGUUGUGGGAUCUUUUUGACUUUUUUAUGUAAAUGCUUCACAAAAGCUUUUUCAUACUUCAAAUAUAUAGAUCUUGUAAAUCUACUUACAUUUGGAGCAAUUAUGUUCCAUUGCAUAAUAAGACCAAUUUUGGUGAAAAAGUACGAAUAAGAAGAUUUUCUCCAAUUUCUUUUACCAUUUUUUAUCUAGUGGUUUUGCCUUUAGUAGUGUUGUCCUAUAAAUUUUUAUCCAGUAAUGACUUUGGUUUUGGGUUUUUGCAUAUACUUUCCUAAUAUAUAUAAAAUAAUUUUUUUAAAGAUUUUAAGAUGUUUAUUACUUUUUCUUACUAAAUUGUGUGAGAUAUAAUACAUAAAAUAUUAUUAUAUCCAUUAGAGAUAUUAAAACACUCUUAAAAAACUAAUUUUUCUUAAAAAUUUAAUAAAAAAAGCCUGAGCCAGUGAGGGCCAACAUGCCAAUGGCAUGCCACUGGCACGGGGCGCACGCCGUCAUUGGCAUGCCCAAUGCCGUUGUAUCCCAGUGCCGUUGUAUCGUGCCAUACUGUUCUGCCGGCACAGUGGCACGGGUUGUGCUAGUGGCACGACAAUCCUUUUCUUUAACUAAAACUUUUAACUAAAACUUUCAGCACUUUAAUAUCAAUUACCAAAUGAUGCCCAGGUUACUUACUAUAGGUCCUGUUACCCAUUUCAAAUGUAUACCAGGAAGGGAAUAAGGUGAAAAUAGAUAGGCCUUGAUGGUUGAUGCCAUCUCAUAGGAACAUAUCAUUCAUGGAAACUCUGCAAAGAGUCAACCUGAUUAGCAUAUACUUCUUUUUUAUGCUUGAGUGGAAUUUCUUUUCAUUCCCGAGGACUGCUGGAAAUUAAGGGCCAUUAGUUGGUUUUAUUAUUCAGAGAAUGGUCAGACUUCUAGAAUAUUUCAUUACUUGCUUCUGGACCAUUCUUUGUUGUUUUUAUGUGCCCUAAAAUACCUUUUUGAUUUGCUAUGGCUUUUUCUCUUUCUUUACUGUCUCUGGGAGUACAGAUAGUACAAUUAACUGCAUCGGGAGAUUUUGAGGAGGCCUUGGCUUUAUGCAAGCUACUUCCACCCGAGGAUUCAACUCUGCGAGCAGCGAAGGAGAGCUCAAUACACAUAAGGUGAUUUUCUCCUUCAAUGACCUACUCAUAAUAUGGUGAGCAGUCAGUUAUAGUUGAUGUUUGAGUAGUUGUCUCUUUAAUGUCUAGGCUGACCUAACUAAAUCUCCAACUAGUCUAAGUGCUGUCUCAUUCACUAAAGACGGUAAGAAUAUCUGUAUUGGAUGUAGACACUUUUAUCCUAAGUACACAGUUACAUGUAUUACAAUGUGAAUUGUGUUGGCUGAUAUAUUGCCCUAAAUAGGUCCUGUACUUAAGUUUGCUAUAUUGUAUCUGUUCAGUUGAAAUGCUUGAUUUUUGAUUUAUACGCUUAUUCUUUUUCUUAUUUUAAAGUACUUUCUAUUGAUCAUAUCAGGAAGGUGCAAGCUUAUUUUCCUUAUCAGUAUGUCCCUUUCCUUCUCGUAGUCCUUUUUCUAUCAGUUUAUUUGUUUUUAUUUUCCAGAUAUGGUCACUUCUUGUUUGACAACGGAAGCUAUGAGGAGUCGAUGGAGCAAUUUUUAGCUUCACAAGUGGAUAUCACUUAUGUUUUAUCGCUAUACCCGUCCAUUAUACUUCCCAAGACGCUUAAUAUUACCGAGGCUGAUAAGCUCCAUGACUUGACAGAUACUUCACAUCUAUCCAGAAUGUCAUCUGAUGCUUCAGAUGAGAUGGAAUCCUCCCUCCCUAUCCAACAUCAGGAAUCUGAUCUUGAAAUGAAGAAAAUGAGUCACAACUCGCUUACGGCUCUUGUAAAGUACUUGCAGAAGAGAAGAUUUAGUAUAAUUGAGAGGGCCACUGCAGAGGUAACUGAGGAGGUUGUCUCAGUUGUACAGGACAGUAUGGCCUUGUCUGAUCCACAUAGACCGAAAACAUCAAACAAGGUGACCUGAUCGUAAUUCUUCCUUAAGAGUUCUAAGUUACUUAUGGCUAUGUUUAAUUUUAUGCACUAUAAAGGAUAUUCUGCAAAAUUUCAGAGUUCAGUUUUCAACAUGGAAGUCUUACCUGAGCAUUUCCUAUUUCACUUUAUGAACCUCAUUUUGGAUCAUUCUUGUUAAGGGACAUUUGGUGUCAUCGCAGGAUAUACUAUUUGCAUAGUUUGCACUUUGCACUUUGCACUUUGCACUUUACACAUUUCAACUUCACUUUUUGUUCAAUACAGUGUUGCUUUAGGCUUCAUUUGGUAACACCUACAUUCUUUUUUCUUUACUUAAAUUCUAUGCAAAUGAAUGUGCCCGCAGAUGAUAGAUUGUUUGCAACCUAUACUCCUAUGGGUCUUGUUAGGCAUUAAAACACGAACAAUUUUGUAGCAACUUUGCCCUUUUAAUAUCUUUCUGUAAAAAGAUGGGCUUGCAAACUAAUGUACAAUAACAGAACAUAGAAGUUGAUUGAAUUGUGAACUGAAAUAUAAUUUGAGUUUUUUAAAAUAGAAAUAAGUAAGACUACGAGUCAAAUGAGAUCCGUACUUUUUAUCUUCAGUCCUGUCAUGGAAUGCAUGAUUUUUUUUUUUGUUCAUUUUAGCCUAAUUAAAAUGAAGAUACCUUAUAAGAUAAAAUAUUGUAUUGGAAGCAUUAAAGCAAAUUCCAAAUGUUUUAUGGUUGGUGAUCGAUGAGUCACAAAAUGUUACUGCAUCAUCUCUUCAAAGUCGUAAUAAAUACAUAUUCUAUAUAUUAUGUCAAAAAAAAAAAAAAAUGAACGCAAUCUUUACUAAUUAACUGAAGAUGUACUAUCUGAUAUCUGAUAAUUUAACUGUAUUUUGUAUUCCUAGAGGCACAGCCAGAUACAUAUCAGCUCAGUAGCCAGAGAGAUGGCGACUGUACUGGAUACCGCACUUCUUCAAGCCCUGCUUCUUACAGGGCAGACAUCAGGAGCACUUGAGUUACUUAAGGGCCUCAAUUAUUGUGAUUUGAAGAUAUGUGAAGAAUUUUUGAAGGAAAGGAAUUUCUAUAUAGUGUUACUGGAGCUGUACAAGAGUAACGAAUUGCACCGCGAAGCUCUUAAACUUCUGAAUCAACUGGUCGAGGAAUCAAAAUCAGGCCUUGCAAAUUCUGAGCUCAAUCAGAAGUUCAAACCAAAUAUGAUUAUCGAGUAUCUCAGGGUAUUAUUACCUUAUGCUUAGUCGCUUACUUCUUUUGGACAAAUUUAUGUUCUCUUUUAUAUGUAACUUGCCAUUUUCCCCUGAUGUUAACUAGCAAUUGUAUGGCGACUUUGCUCUAAUUGAGAGCUUUUAUUAUAACAGUGCAAGUUUCAAACUAAGGGGUCGUACUAGAUGCCAGUAAGCACUUUUAACUACUCUGAUAAUUAUACCUAUGUGCAAGAAGUAUUGAAAAUACAGGAUCUAAACUUACGAAAAGGAGUAAUUCAUAUUUAUGUUUCAUAAUUCACCAGAUCAACACAGCUGCUUCCAUUUAGUUUGAUAAGUUUUGUUAAACUAAUGGUGAACACUCAAAAGGAUUUGUAUACAACAUUGCUUUUUGAAGAACUUGUUGGAUUGCAUCACUUGGAUUUUGAAUUCAGGCUGUGUACUUGUACUGCUGUCUAAACAAUUUGAGCAUAUCUCGGCAAAACUUUCUGGUACUUUGCAAAACUUUGAAUAGCCAAGAACUUAUCCCUGGUGCUGUAUCUAGCUGUCAUACUAAAUCAUUGUCCUUUAUGAAACAUGAUUCCCUUCUACUGACUUUUCUGAUUAUAUUUGCAGCCUCUUUGUAGGACCGAUCCUAUGCUUGUUUUAGAAUCCUCCUUGACUGUUCUUGAGAGCUGCCCAACAGAAACGAUUGAACUUUUCCUGUCUGAAAAUGUUCCAGCAGACUUGGUAAAUUCAUAUUUGAAGCAGCAUGCACCAAAUUUGCAGUCUACAUAUCUAGAGCUUAUGCUUUCAAUGAGUGAAAAUGGGAUCAAUCCUAACCUGCAAAAUGAACUGGUAUUUGCGUCCUUUUCAUUCUGUCUUUUAUUGUGAUAAAUUAUAGUUUGUUUGAGCUGUUAAGAUAUUCCUUUUUUACUGAAACUUGUUACCAGGUGCAAAUAUACCUUUCAGAAGUACUCGAUUGGUACCAGGAUCUCAAGGACGAACAAAAAUGGGACGAGAAAACUUACUCUCAAACCCGUAAGAAGUUAAUAUCUGCAUUAGAGGGUAUUUCGGGUUAUAAUGCUGAGGUCCUGUUAAAGUGUCUCCCACAAGAUGCACUCUUUGAGGAGCGCGCGAUACUACUUGGAAAAUUAAAUCAACACCAUCUUGCUUUAUCUUUGUAUGUUCACAAGGUAACAUCUAUGGGGACGAACAAUCAGUUCUUUCUGCUGUGCUUUUCUCAUUUGGGUGAAAAUCUUGUUCACAGGCUUCCAGCUCUGUUUGGAGGUUUUCUUUUUUGAAGUUAUAUGUUUCUAAAGACUUCUUGUUAGUUGUGAUUAGUGCAUUUAAAACUCUAAUGCUAUGUCCGCUGUAAUAACUACUCCUUGGUGAAUUAUGCAGCUGCAUUUAUCAGAGCUAGCGGUAGCAUACUGCGAUCGUGUUUACGAAGCAGGAUCAUCACAGCCUCCAAAAUCAAAUGUGAACAUCUAUCUUAUGCUACUACAGAUUUACUUAAAUCCACAAAAGACAAAAAAAGAAUUUGAAAGAAGAACUAUUUCGGUACCUUCCCAAAGCCCUAUAACCCAAAAGGUUGGUUAUACUAAAUUCAAAGGGAGCCGCAAUUCUAAGAAAAUUGUGGAGAUUGAGGGUGCUGAUGACAUGCGCAUUAGCCUCAGCAGCACUGAUAGUGGACGAAGUGAUGGUGAUGGAGAUGAAUAUGCUGAAGGAGGAGGUUCUGCAAUGUUGAAUGAGACACUUGAAUUGUUGAGCCAGCGAUGGGAUAGGAUAAAUGGUGCACAGGCUCUAAAACUAUUACCCAGAGAAACAAAGCUCCAGGUAUGGAUUUAUUUGUUCAAGAAAAUUUUUUUUUCAAUUUUUUUUAUGUAAGAGGAAGUUCAAAUAAUUGAAAACUCUGAACCCCAAUGAAUUUACUAUUUCCUAGUAUGCUUUUUUGGCAGAAUUUGCUUUCUUUCCUUGAACCACUUCUCAAGAAAUCUAGCGAACAUCGGCGGAAUUAUGCAGUUAUUAAGAACUUGAUAUUCAGGGCGCAUUUGCAGGUUAACUCUAUUUGCUUUGUCUUCUUUGUCGUUAUGCUGUUGUAUCAAAAAGCUGGUUUGGAGACUUUGCAACAGAAAGGAGCAUUUUGUGUUUAGAUUAUUUCUUAUCUUGGAAAUACAAUGUUUCAUGAGAAUGUUUAGUCUCCAAUCCCCUAUAAGCCCAGGUUGAUGAUAAAUGAAAUUUCUAACUGCUCAAGUCUACUGACAUCGUGCAUUAGGUAAAGGAAGAUCUUAGUAAAUCCCGACAAACAGUUGUGAAGAUUGAUGGAGAGAGCACCUGUUCUCUGUGCCGUAAGCGGAUAGGUAACAGUGCUUUUGCUGUUUAUCCAAAUGGAAAGACACUUGUGCAUUUUGUCUGCUUUAGAGACUCGCAGCGCAUCAAGGCUGUCCGAGGUGCACCCCCAGUCAAGCGCCUGUAGUUUGCUCCUAACGUGAAGUAUGAUUAAUCUCUUUACUUUUGACAAUAGUUCAUACUUAUUAAAGGAAAUAUUAUAUUUUCGUUGUUGCUUUCUUUUGCUCUGAAAGUAAACAAUUGUAAUACCUUGCAUUAAUCAAAUUUGUGAAAUCACAGAUGCCGAGAAAUAUUAAUUUGUAGUCCAGAUUUGAUGUUAAAAGAAUCCAUGCGGUCCUGAAAAUAGUUGAAACUUUGGCAUAUGGAAGGUCAGUUUGCUAAUGCAUUUCUAUGAUCCUGUGACUGUUAAAUUUCUUAUGCUUUGACAAAAAUGUGGAGGCUUAUUUGCAUUGCACCUAAGAGGUGAGAUGAUUUUUCUUAUUCUGAGAUAUGACUUUUAAGUCGUUUAGACUAUGCCAUUUGAGACUUUCUAAUCAUACUUGUUAAAUUAAAUGAAACAACCGUUUUUCUGUAAAGGCUUAAGCUACCAGAGAACAUUAUUUUUUAUAUUUAUAUUUUUCAACUAAGGCUUUAAAUUCAAUAAACUUAUCAAAAACUUCAUACUUAAAUUUUAAAAGAUAAUUCAAGAAUAAUGAGUGAAAUCAUUCACAAAGAGAACAUAAUAUUUAUAACUAGAAACCGAGUAAAUAAGAGAUUGCCGAACAUCAGAGUGAAUAAGUUGAAAUGGAAAAUCAGAAUGCGAAUCUGAUUUAUUAAAAGGAAGUUUCACAUGUUUUUCCAACAUUACAUGCAUUGUACUGAGAAGCCUUAAUGUCCAAAGUUCUUUAAGUUUUAUUUUUCUUGACAAACUUAGACAAAAUUUUAAAACUAAGGUGACCUAACCUCCUAUGCCAAAUAUCACCAUUAUUAAUUUUUGAGGCAACUAAAGUACUCGUAGGUUUAUUUCCUACUCUUGCAACUUUGGAAGAUAGUGGGUAGAGUGUUGUUCCUGAACUAGGGGUGGCAAUCCAGCUCGCUGUUCGCGAGCCUCGAAAUAAGCUUGAGAUCGAAUCGCUCGUUUAGUAAACGAGCUGAACACGAGCUCGUUUAGUAACGUUCGUGUUCGGCUCGAUAAUAGUUCGAAUACAUAUAUUUUAUAUUUAUAUAUAAAUAAAUAAUUAUAUAUAUACAAUACGGAUUUUUAUUUUUUGANCGUUCGUGUUCGGCUCGAUAAUAGUUCGAAUACAUAUAUUUUAUAUUUAUAUAUAAAUAAAUAAUUAUAUAUAUACAAUACGGAUUUUUAUUUUUUGAUUUUUAGCCCAACUUGAAUAUAAAGCCCAACUCAAUUAUAAAAAGGUCCAUUUAUGUGUAAAGUUUCAACCAUUAGAUCAAAGCCUAAUCGGUAAGAUCUCGAAAAUUUAUAUCCUAUAUAUAUCAUUUCUAAUCUUUUAACUUGUUGUUAUUAAUGAGCCAAACAUGAGCUGAAUUUUUCGGCUCGAUAUUUUAAUGAGCCAGCUUGAGAUUAGCUCGUUUAUGAAACGAGCCGAACACGAGCCGGCCCCAGCUCGCUCGUGUUCGGCUCGUUGACAACCCUAUCCUGAACUACGACAUUGGUGGUGCUCCUUUCUUGUUUCGUUGUCCUUUACACCAGAAACAACAAAAUCAAAUUCAAAAGAAGAGUUAUUAUCAUGAUAGAAUUUGCGAAUAGAGAGCAAAUUUCUUUUAAUAGCAGGAACAAUACGGACAUUCUUAAGGUUAAAGGAUUCAGGAGUACUUAAAGUUGUUUCGCCCUUAUGAGUUAUAGAGAGUAGACCUUUACCAACAAAAAUUUUAUCUGUUCCUAAAUAAGGUGUAGAUUUAAAAACUACACCUGAGUCUGAUAUCAUGUAAUUCGAUGCUCCAGUAUCAGGAUGCCACACCUCCUCUGAAGAGUCAUGGAGAUUCAUAGUAGCAAGAUUUGCCGUAUAUCAUCCGCAACAAAGGCAUUGGUUGAACCUCUGCCUUCACUGGACCGCAGUGUGGUUGAACUUGCCACAUAUUUGGCACUGGGUUUCACUGCGAGGCAUCAUUGGUCCAGGCUGUUGCUGAGGUUGUGGAUGAGGUAUAGGUAGGUAAUAUUGAUGUUGUUGGGAGGGAACUGCUUCAUAUUGUCCCUAUCCAGACUCUGGGUUACACCCUCCUCGCUGCUGCCCUCGACCUCUUGAUCUACUGGUCCGGCCUCCCCAGUUUUCUCUUCCAUGAUUUGCAUCUAGAUUCUGUAGGAGUUGUAUGUUGAAUAGAAAUAUUAAAACAUCAUUCUCUGGCAGCUGAAACUUUAGAGAGAAAUAGUUGUUUUAUUUAAUUUAACAUGGUAGCAGAGUAAAAGGUCUUGAGUUCGAAUCACGUUAGACUUCUAGCGUUAUUCAAUUUCCUCCCAUUUAAUUUAGUUCAUGUCUUGGGCCUAUCAAGAAGUUUUGAUCCUAGACGUGAGGAGUCUUGAAUAUAAAUGUUAAAAACACUGUUCUCUAAUAGUUUAAGCUUUUGGAGAAAAAUGAUUGUUUCAUUUAAUUUAACAACUCAUUUACCAAUGUUGCAAGGCCCUUUGGCAAACAAAAGAGAUGUCCUAGAGAAGACUUGAUGCUUUAGUACACUUUAGGGAUUUGUCUGGUACUUAAGUAAUCCAUAGAGCAAUUCUGUGCCUUGAUGACUAAAGUUCAAUCUUGCCUUCAUUGUUGUAACUUUUAUCAUUUGUAAUUUUCGAGUAGGAGUUUGUUCGGAGAGAUAUGCUGAAAUAUCUCGGUCUUUGCAGCUGAGAUGAAGAAGAAUAAAUUCACAGUAGUAUAGGUAGAAUUUGUCAUGGAGAUUGGAGCGAACAAAUGGGUGUACUCUCAAGUUGGCUUUUUUUUUUUUUACUGGGUCCAUGUGAGCUGAAUUUGGUCGAGUUUCAAAUUUGAACCUUUAAAGGAGUUAUUACAAAUUUGAAAAUAGUUGUUAAUGUUUUUGCAAAUGCGUGAUUCCCUGACGGUUGCCUCUUAUAGAUAUGUAUCUAUUUUGAACUAUUCUUCUUUGCAUUUGGUUAACUGUAGCAUGCCCUUCACAAACAUGAUUAUCAUGUUCUGAUUUAUUUUAUUUUAUUUUUUUUCCUGAACUUAUGUUUUUGUAGUUUCACCUGCAAAAGACUUCUUUUUUUUUUUCUUUUCCUAAAUGAAUGAGACAAUGAAAAUUGAUUCAUUUUCCCAGAAAUUUGCUUACAUUUUCUUUCAAAAACAGGUGACAGGGUUCAGGGUGUGCGUACCGUUCUUUACAAAUUCAGCCAGUGGGUGAGCUUUUCUUCAUGGCCGGCCGUGAGCUAACAGUGACAUGUACAAAUACAAACUCGUGUUAAAUUAUUUGUAUAAGAGUCCAUGCGAUCGCUACUAUCUGCUAUUCAUGGCGGUAUUCUUGUUCGGCUGCUGUGAUGUCAAUGCACAAGAAGACCUGUCUACACGUAGGCUAAAUUGCUGAUGUCUUCUCGCUAUGAUCGCAGUUUCAGUGAAGUUCUUAUGUUGUUGUGUUUACUACUAUUAUGGGAAUAAAUGAGUUCAAAGGCGCAAGCGGAAGGGUUGCACUCAUUAUCAUGACAUCUUUGCAGAGUUCACAGUUUUUGUAAUUUGAUGUUAACUAGAUUAUGUGCUGUGACAUUUCUUCUUCUUUUUUUACCCCUCUGUUGUGAGCUUGGUGUGUAGCUAAGAGGGAGAAUGUAAGCCAAUAUUUUCUCAUGAAUGUUUGUUUGCAAACUGCUUGUGUCAUUUAUCAGUUCUCCUUGAGAAGGAAAUAAUAAAGUUUGAUUAUUUAUUGGGUUGGAGGAAAUUUUGUUUUGAUUUUGUUGUACUCUCUUUUUUUCCCCUUAUUUCUUUGUUGAAUAUAGGUAAAACAUUUGUGACUGCAAAUCUGCAGUAAAUUUUAUCCCUAUGGGACAAUCGAAAAUGCAAUGUUUUUUCCCCCCUUCACUCCCCAAUUUCCUCAUUCUUUUCUCUGCUUUUUUUUUUUUUUUUUUAAUUGCUUCCAUUUAUUCCCUCUCUCUGUACCUUCAUUCCUCUGUUCCAAUUGGACUUGAGAUUAGUAAGAAUGAAAACAUUAGUUAUGCUCAGAACAGAGUCUAAGUUUGGACUCUAUUCUUUGUAAAAAUAACCUUUCUUUGUGGGGAGGUUUGUGACUUAUGAAGCUCUACUCAUUCAAAUACACUUGAGAUGUUACCGGAGAAAAGUUAAAGAAACAUUUAACCUCAUAGAUUUCAACCUAAUGUUAAUCAAGUCCUAAGUUAUAUUUAAUAUUUUUAGAUUGUUGAUUGAUUUAGAAUUGAUGAAUUUAAGUAUCAAAAGCUACGGGGCCUGCUUGACUUUAAGGCUUAGUUUGAUAUUGAAGCCUAUCUAACGCUAUUAGAUAAAAUCGAGUUGUGGAAAAAGCAUAUAGGGAUAUGCUUCUGCGUUCUUCGAUGGGACCGUAGAAAAUAUAUUGUAACCGACUUAUCGCGAUAUGCGGAACGCAAUAUUACGUACGGAAACAAACAGGGUAUUUUUCCAACGUACUUUCUCACCGCACGUAACGCAAUCUCCCCGCAAUCCCUAACGAAGCCUAAGUCUUCUACUAAGGAUGUAGUAGUGUUUGACGAAGCAGUCUAAUAGUCUUUUAGAAGAAAACACUAUUUUAUAACCAACAACAAUUAAUUGAUGUAGUUUUAGCAGUGAAAAAUAAAUUUAUUAAAUCUGAUCAUUAUUCGCAUAUUGAAUCUGACUAGAGGAAGUAAUUUUCAGACUUAGUAUAAUUUUUUUUUUUUUUUUGAGAGAUAGAUAGAACGCUACCCACUUCGUUUAUUUCAUUUAGAAAUUAACUUAGCUGGAAAUGUGAAUCAACUAGGAUUCGAACUUGGGACCUCGGAUACCAACCACCAAAUUCUUUGCCACUUGUUCUAGGGAUGGUUGGUAGGCUUAGUAUAAAAUUAAAUAGAGAAAUGGUUUGGGUACCUCACUUUUGGACAACCCAUUAUAUUGUUGAUGUGUUGGGCUCUCCAUAUGGAGUGGUUAGGGUUUAGGAUUUAGUAUAUAAUAAUAAUAAUAAUAAUAAUAAUAAUAACACUUAGGGUUCGGGUUCGAUUCCAAGCGUAAUUGAUCCCUGAACCAAAAUGCACUAUGAGGCUUCUCUACCUUCUUUGUUUCAACAAAUGGACCACAAAUAGAGUCCCCUGUAUACACCAUGUGAAUGAGAAUCCAACUGAAUCUUAUUGCCUUUGCAAAGGAAGAUACAGUUUGAGCCCCAAAAAGAUGAGCAUUUGCCACUAUGAGACUCUUCCAACCUAACCAUAUCAGAAAGUGCCGCAACUAUUCAUCUCACUUACCGACCAUUUCUAGAGCAAGUGACAAAAGACUUGAUAGUUGGUACCCGAGACCCAAGUUCGUGAAAGGCAUGAUCAUUUUCGCUUUGAUGAAAUCCAAAGGAAAGAAUAGCAGACUGAAAUUUUUCAAACCAAGCUCGGGGAGCUUGUUUAAGGCCAUAUAAAGCCUUCCGUAGCCGGCAAACAUGACCAGAUGAAUGGGAAAGACCAGGAGGUGGUUGCAUAUAAACUUCUUCAUGAAGAUCCCCAUGUAAGAAGGCAUUUUUGACAUCAAGUUGAUAAAGAGGCCAGCUACGAGAGGCAGCAAGAGCGAUAAGGAUGCGAACAGAGGUCAUCUUAGCAACAGGGGCGAAUGUCUCCUCAUAAUCAAUGCCAUAUUCUUGAGAGAACCCUCGAGCAACUAAACGGGCUUUAUAGCGAUCAAUUGAGCCAUCAGAAUUUGUCUUGACUUUAUAAAUCCACUUACAACUUAUUGGAGUCUUGCCNUCCUAGUUGAUUUACAUUUCCAGCUAAGUUUAUAUCUAAAUAAAAUAAACGAAGCGGGUAGCGUGCUACUUAUUUCUCAAAAAAAAAAAAAAAAAAAAAACACUAUUCAUCUCACUUAAUUAUCUCUCCAUGUAGUAACAUCUCUCUUUCCAUUGGGUCCAAUUAUUUCUUCUUGGUGAAAAGCAUGGCUCACAAUGUUAGAAACGUAUCAUGUUUUCUGCUUGCUGUUGAAAUGAGAAAGGGCACUUGUACAGAAGUGGCUAUGGACCCCCUGAACAUUUUAAAAGUUACGCGCGAAUCGCUAACUAUUUACGUAUAGUGAAUUGGUUAUGCUUGUGCUAAUUCUUUCAGUUUCAAUCGCAACUACUGAAUCAAAUUUAAACUAAGAUAGUAGAUGGAAAUUGAGAAUUCUCAUUGGAUUCAGUUUUUGCUUAGAAAUAGCUAGCUGUUGUUAUUUUAUUUCUUUUUUUUGAGAGAGAAAGAUAGCAUACUAUCUGUUUCGUUUAUUUUUUUCUUAAUAAAUAAACUUAGCUGGAAAUGUGAAUCAAUUAGAAUUCGAACUUGAAAUCUCGGAUACCAACUGCGAAACUCUUUGCUACUUGCAUUAGAGACGGUUCGGAAUAAUUUUGUCUAUCUUUCAUUCCAGUUAUCAAGUAAUUUUUUUUUCCACCACAAUUAGAAAGAUGUUAUAAAUAAGAAAAGAAAAAUUAAAAGCAGCUUUCUACCUCAGAACAAACAAUUUUGGGAAAAAAUUAAUAUAAAUAUAUCUAAAUUACAUUGCGAUUGACUUUAACAUGCAUUUGAGUCUUUUUGUGUUUUUGAAACAAAAAAUGUGCUCACUUUGAGAUAUAAAAGUGCAUAGUGUAAGUUGUAAUGGAGGACACAGUGUUCUAGAAUGUGUCAGAACCUAACUUGGGUGAUCCACAUUAUGUGAGCUCAUGAGCGGCGUCCAAUUUAUUAUUCACAUAAAUUUAAAAUUCGUGUCAUUUAUGUGAUGAGCGUCAAAUACAACGGUUCACAUGUUAGGCCCGGUCUCUACCAAAUUUUUGUUCUCACUUCAUCAUCAUAAAAAAAAAAAAAAAAAAAGGUCAUCUUUGAGAUCCAAUUUCCAAAUGCAUGCAGUGUCUAAAAUUUAAAAGUUUUUUUUUAAAAUUUUUAUUUUUCUGUUUUAACAUUAUAAAAUGAUGGUAAAAGUUAGUGACAACUUAGCUUGUGGUAUAGUUUUGAUUCAACAUAUCAUCCAACCGGAGGAUAAAGAAUUGUUAGAACAAAAGCGAAAAAGAUCUAAUUCAUAGGGUGCAAAAAUAUCAAAAAAGAAUCAUGAAUGAGAGAAGAAAAAUAAAACACAUAAUAUUUACGUAAUUCGACCGCUAGCCUACAUUUACUGACGAAGAUAUAGAAGAGAUCUUCAUUAUAAUUAAUGUGGUAUACAAAAUAUGUCUUUUUUUACAAAAUUCUAGUCCUAAAAUAUAUAUUCAUAUUCUUUCUCAUCUGCGACAUCAAAUUAAUAAAAUAAAAGUAUAUUUCUAAUAAUAGCUAAAUUCUAGUAUACUUACAAAUACAAAUUUAAUAAUAUAAUUUAAAAUAGAAUAAAAUUUUAGAGUUCUAGAAUUCCGUACAUAACUAACAAGAAUCCGUUACAGCCCCUGCUCAUUCUCCUCUGUUUCAUUCAUUCAUCAACUCAUGCAUCAAACGCUCCCUCUAUCAAAACAUGCAUCACUCGGAACUCCUCUUUAAUUAGAUGGAUAAAGAAAGAAGAAAAACAACAGGAACAACAAUUGAGCAUGCAUCUAAUUAAUUGAUUUCUUUUUUAAAAUUAAGGUAUUUAAUUAAUUAAUUACUUUAAACAGGCACAGUCUUGGAUGUGUCCUCCUCUGGCUGGUGCUCAUGCUCAUCAUCCUCAUGCUCGCCAGACAGCUCCUCCAGCGACUUCCCCUUCGCCUCCGGCACCAGAAAAGUGAAGAGCAGCCCCAGCAGGUUGCAGCCGGCGAGCGCGAACAGCGAGUUCCGCACGCCGAUCCCCUGCGCCGCGUAGAGGAACCCGAACGAGCCCACGAUCGCCCCCGCCUUCCCCGCCGCCGCCGAUAUCCCGUGGCACGUCGACCGCAGCCGCGCCGGGAAUAUCUCCGCCGGCACGACGAACGUCGUCGCGUUCGGCCCGAAGUUGGCGAAGAAGAAGGUGAACGCGUACAUGACCACGAACCCGACGUGGUUCCCGGGCGUCGUCCAGUGGCGGUAGGGGAUCGCCAGCCCCAGCAUGAACACGGUCAUCAUGAAGAACCCGGCGAGCUGGAUCGCGAACCUGCCGAUCACGUCGAUGAACGCCACGGUGAACCAGUACCCGGGGACGGUGCCGCACAGCGCGAUGAGCGUCUGCGCGCGGGCGAUGCGGAACACCUCCUCCGUCGCGCUCAUCGUCCGCGCCUUCGGUAUCCAGUUGAUCGCGCUGAAGAUGUCCUUCUGGAACAAGUUCUGGCUGUAGAACGCCACGUCCAGCGCGAACCAGCAGACCGCCGUGCCCACCAGCUGCCGCCCGUGCCGCCGCGCAAACUCCUUCGAGAACAACCCGAAGCCGACUCGGCGACUCACCGAGCGAUCACGCGGUUUAUUGUUAUUAUUAUUAUCUUCUUCUACGUCGGUGGCGGCAGUGAUGAUGUCGACGUUCAGCACCUUGGACAUGUCGGCGGCGGCCAGCUUGGAGUUCCUGGCGACGAGCGCGGUGUAUCGCGCGGUCUCGGGCAUCUUCGUCCGCCAGUAGUAGGUCAGCAGGGCGGGGACGGCGCCGAACAUGAGGAUGAUACGCCACACGUAGUCGGCCUGCGGGACGGUGGAGCGCGAGGGGUCGUCGUCGUAGGCGGGGGCGCGGAAGCGGGCGUCGAAGGCGGCGGAGACGGCGAGGGUGACGACGCCGCCGCAGAGGAUGCCGAAGCCCUGCAUGGCGAAGACGGCGGCGAUGAAGGAGCCGCGGGUGCGCUUGUUGGCGUACUCGGACAUGAUGGUGGCGGAGAGGGGGUAGUCGCCGCCGAUGCCGAAGCCGAGCCAGAAGCGGAAGAAGCAGAGGGUGGCCAUGACGGCGUCGGCGGCGGGGCCGAAGGAGAGGCCGGAGGCGAGGGAGGAGACGACCAUCAUGAUGAGGGUGAAGCCGUAGACGGACUUGCGGCCCAUCUUGUCGCCGAGCCAGCCGAAGAAGGCGACGCCAUUGACGGCGGCGGCGACGUUGGGGGGGAGGAUGCCGGGGGCCGGGAGCCUGGGGCGUAGUAGUAGAUGCGGCCGAGGAGCUUGGUGACGAGGGAGAUGCAGAAGAGGUCGUAGGCGUCGGUGAAGAACCCCAUGCCGGCGACCACGAUCGCCGUGAAGUGGUACCACUGCGUCUUCGCCGCGUCCAGCGCGUUCAGCACCUGCAGCUUCUUCUCCUGCGCCAUCCCCCCGCCGCUGCCACUGCCGCCGCCGCUGCUGCUUCUUCUUUUCCUUCCUUCCUUCCUUAGUGACUAAUGAUCAAUUUAUGAUCUUCUUUUGAUGACUGCUGCUGAAUUCCUGAAUUCCUGAAUUCCUGAAGAAGCUGCUGUCUGUAAAGGGGAGAAGAAACAGAGAGAAAGAAGAAGAGCUGUGAGACAAGAUUCUGAUUUAAGAAAGCAAUAAAUAUAUAUAUAUAUAUAUAUAUAUAUAUAUAUAUAUAUAUAUAUAUAUAUAUAUAUAAAAAUUGAACGCGGAUACUUUGAAAAGCACUAAGAGUGGUGUUUUUAAAUUUGUAAUCUUUAGGGUGGAGUUGUUGCAAACUAGAAUGAUAGAAACCAUUUAAAAUUUAGUUGAUGAUAAUGAAAUAAUGUUUGAUUUAAAAGAGCUGGAAAUGGUCAAAAGGUACUCCAAUAGUAAAAAAUCUAAAAAAAUCAGAAUUUUGUGUUUUUAAUAUAUUCUAGCUUAACUCUCUCCCUCUCCCCCUUUCUUUCUUUCUCUCUCUCUCUCUAUAUAUACUAUAUUGUAAAACAAAAAUAUUUUUGAUAGUAAAAAAAAUAGUGUUUGCUAUUAUUAUUUUUUUCCCAUUGAAUGUGUAGGAUGUAAACAUCUUUCAAAUUUUUUCUUUGUACACUCAAUCAUAUUUUUUAUAUUUAUUAUUUAUUUUAUUAUAUUUAUAUAAUUAAAAUAUGAUUAUUUAUUAUAUUAUUUUUAAAAUAUAUUCUAUCGCAUUGGUACUUUUAAUAACGAAAGAUUCGACUACAGAAAAUAAAAGAUCGAAAACCGAAUUUCUUUUUUCAAAAAGAAAUGCAUUGGGCCCUUUAUUGUGUGUUCCUCACUAUAUUGUGGAUGUGUUAGACAACAAAAUAAAUUUUUACGUGAAACUGAAUAGAAAUUAAAGAAAAAAAACCAAAAUAGUUUACUUUAAAUUAUAGAAAAAUUACUAUAUCAUAUGGAAGCUUUUGAAAAUUUACUUUUAAAACGUGAAGAUGAUUAUAAAAAUGUUGCCUUUCUUUUUAUAAGUCAGGACAAAUUUGUUGACCACAGUAGUAGUCGAAGCAAUGUUGAUGACUAAUUUGAAGAAUAAAAAAAAAAAACAAAAAGCUUUUACUUGGCUCUAUAUCGUGACACGACAACAUCAUGCUCCACUUUAAUUACACUGUACCUCAAACUUUUUCUUCCGCAAAUUUUAAUUUAUUAUACUUUUUAGUUCGAGUUUAAAGAAUUAUAAUUAAGUUUCAUAAUUUAAUUUAAUUGACUGAAUAUUAAUAUAUUAUUAAUAUAAAAGUAAUGUGGUACCUCAAUAUUUAAUGAGCUAAGUUUGGUUUGUGAAUUUGAUUAUAAUAAUAUAAAAAUUUGAGCGAAAACUUAUAAUAAAUUAAUAAAUUAAAAUAUGAGAACCGAGUGUCACAAGCCUUAUGUAACUUAGCUAAAUAUUAAUAUUAAAAGCUUAAAAAGUUUUUGAAAAAAAUGUAAGUAAUUAAAGAGACCAGCAACUUCUAGAGGAGUGAGUCAGCGAAUCCAAAAUUCUAAAUGGGUAAGUUGGAAGCUAAGAUGAGUGGGAAAAGCUAUGCAAGAUUAUAUAAUUAGUUAAUUACAAAGUUAAAAUAAUAAUAAUAAUAAAAAUGGUAGAUUUGGUAAUUAAAUUCGCGCUGAUAAGUUAAUACGCAGAUUAUCUGAGCGAAGAAAGAGAGUGUUAGACGUAAUUAAAAUUAUUCUAUGGUUACGUAUUUGGGUCAAAUAAUCAAAUGUAAAUAAACUAAUAUAAUGACAUAAAUAUAUAAUGCGUAAAACAUACCGACAAUAUAUAUAUAUAUAUAUAUAUAUAUAUAUAUAUAUAUAUAUAUAUAUAUAUAUAUAUAUAUAUAGAGAGAUGGNGGUAAAACAUACCGACAAAAUAUAUAUAUAGAUUAUUUCGCAUGAUUAUUUUUACUUAAAUUAAUAUUUAAUUGUACAUAAUUAGGGGCCGUUUGGCUAGACGCAGUUGCAGAAAAAGUAUAAUUGAAAGUAUAUGCAGUUAUAAAUACUGCAGUCGUAACUACACCAGACUGUUUGGUUUUAUACAGUUGCAAUGGCUGCCGUUAUAUUUUUUCUAUUUGGUAUACUUCAGUUGAGAUUUGUAUUUGUAAAUCCGGUCACUUUUAGAUAGAAAGGUAAAAUUAUCUCUUUUAAAUAUAACAUAAUUAUGAGAUCUUUUAAUUAUUAAUUAAGAUUUUUAUAUCUAUAUAUAAUUUACAUAUUAUAAAAUUAUGUAUGAAUUUAAUGAAUUUUAAAUGAAAAUAUAGGGAAAACUUCAAAAAUCCCCCUUGUGGUUUUAAUUUUUUUCACUUUAGUACCCUGUGGUUUAAAAUGUAUCAAGUUAGUACCUUGUGGUUUCUCACUUUAUCACUUUAGUACCCUGUGGUUUAAAGUGUAUCAAGUUAGUACCCUGUGGUUUUGUAUUUUAUCACUUUAGUACUCUGUGGUUUUGAUUUUGUAUCAAAUUAGUACCCUGUGGUUUUUUAAACUAUAGGGUACUAAAGUGAUAAAGUGUGAAACCACAGGGUACUAAAGUGAUAAAGUACAAAACCACAGGGUACUAAUUUGAUACACUUUAAACCACAGGGUACUAAAGUGAUAAAGUGGGAAACCACAGGGUACUAACUUGAUACACUUUAAACCACAGGAUACUAAAAUGAAAAAGUGUGAAACCACAUAGGGGGUUUUUGAAGUUUUCCCGAAAAUAUAUUAUAAAUUUGAUCAAAAUAAAAAUUAAGAUAUUAUUGAAUGAGUAUAUUGGGAAAAAUAGAAGCGUAUGAAAAAAAUUUAUUGGACCACAGCAGACAUUAUUGAACCUUAGCAGCUUUCGUGAAUAGGUAUUCUUGGGGGAAAAAAAAAGUAAAAAAAAAAAGCCUAUGAAAAAAAAAAUCACACUAUUUUCUCUUAAUAGGUGAGCUGAUUUCGGCAACUGCAGCAGUUGGACUUUUUCAUACCGAUACAACUAUAGCAGUUGAGCCUAAUUAUAUAAAAUUAAAUAAAAAUUUAAUAGAUGCAUGCAUUUUUAACUGCACUGCAGGUGGAAAUGCAUGCAACCAAACAACUCCUUAUUACUGUAUAAAAAUUUCUGCUAUAUACAAAUUUAAAAAUAGAAUUUGAGUUCAAGUGUUACAGUUGGAACUGUAUAUAUAGCAUUGCUAGUAAUAACAAUUAAUCAAAUUAUCUUACCUGCUACUCUCUUUCUUGCAUUCAAGAAAUGUAGAACAUUAAACCCAGGAGCUGCAAAAGAGAGAGAGAGAGAGAGAAUGAUAAGUUGAGAAGAGAGAGAAAAUGUUAAGGGAAAGUUAGGGGAGAAGGUGUAGAGUUAGAGGCGGUAUUUAUAGUGGCGGAGCAUAACGGAAUCUGUAUACGGAAUAUUACUGCGCCGUCAUUUUCGUCGGGGUCCGUCGGUCAACGCUGGUUGACGGCGUAGCAUGUAACGUACUAUGCGGGCGUGGCGCCCACACGACGCGCCACCUCAAACGCGCGCAAUUGUUCCGUUCCCACGAGCAUUAUUUGUUUCAAACCAAAUUAUCGAACUAAACAAAUUUAUAUUUUAUAUCAACCGUCCCUGUAACAAGUGGUAAAAAAUUUGAUAAUUGAAACUCAAAAUUUUAAAUUUGAAUCUUGAUUCAUAUUUUCAGUUAAGUUUAUUUUUAAAUAAAAUAAACGAAACGGAUAGCGUGCUAUCUAUUUCUCAAAAAAAAAAUAUUAAUAUAUUUAAAAAGUAUGAGUUAGAUCCUAUGUUUUUGAAAGUACGGCGACCUCCGUACUUGUAAAUUAUUUUUGAUGAUGCGACGUUCGAUUCGGAGAUCGAUUCAAUUAGACAUGAUUUAUGCUAUUAAAACUAUCUAGAAAUCAAAUUUCAUAAUUAUUUUAUUUUAUUUGGCUAGUAAAUGAGAGUAGUUUUAGAAUGAACGACUGAAAAUAAAAAUUUCAUAAAAAACUGAAACUUUAAAUCAGAAAUAUUAAUUCCACUAUUGAUAUUAAGUAAAAUUUUUUAUUAAAGUUUCAUAUAAUUUUGAUUGUUCUACGCCGUUGAACUUAAAAAUAUACCAUAUUGACUGUUAAAAUAGUUAUUUUUGAGAUCUUUUUGAUCACUUAGUAAACUAUAUCAAAAAAUUAUGAAAUUUGGUUAAUAGAUAAUUCCAAUAGCGUAGAUUAUGCCUAACGGAGCUGAUCGUCAAAUCAAAUAUUUUAUCAUCGAAAACAACUUACAAAUAUGGAGACCUCCGUACUUUCAAAAACACAAGAGACAUACUCUAACAAGUAUUAUUAUAAUUAUAAAAAAUUAGUUUUUAAAAAAAUUAUUAUAAAUUAUGCGAUGAAUAAUUCACCGCUUAAAUUUAAUUUUAUAAUCAGCUCGUACUCGACGUAGGAGGAUCGGAUUGCGACGAGACUUAGAUUCGUUGGAUUCGGAAUUUCGAGAGGAAUCCACAAGCCCUUACUUGCCGGAUUUGGUGAAGGUUAGCUUGGUUGAAUCCCUUUUCUACUCCGUUGCUGUGAAAUUCGGACUGAAUUGGUGGAUUUUGAUCGUAGAGCUUGGAGUUAGCUCGAGUGCUAGACUUGGAGGGUUCCAGUUGAUCCAGCAGGGAUCACUUUGGUUCGAGGCUUCAUUCGCUGCCAGGAGCUAGCUUUUUGAGGUGGGUUACAUCGGUUUUGACUCCUAAGUUCUAAUCGUCGACAUGUAUGAUUUUGGUGUAGUCUAUUCUAGCUCGAAUUUAUGGAUUAUAUUGUAGAUUGCAAAUCUGAAUUUGGAGCAUGUGGUAAUAAGUUGAGUAGUUUAUACAUGUUGGACUUGGAAUUUGACUUAGAAGAAAACCUGCGAUUUGGACCUGUCACUUGUUUAAACUGCCUGAUUUAGCUCUAGGAGCCGUUAUAAAAUUGUACUGUCGCAGUAUUUUUGAUACGAGUACUCCAGAUAGUUUAGAAUGCAUUUACGCUCGUGUUGGUACGCCGAGUGGAUUUUUACAGGGUCAUUUGGCUGUUUCGGACUUUUGGGCGCCGUUGGAGUUGACGGUGGGCCCGGUUCGCCGUUUUGGCGUCAGAUUGUGCCGAUGGCACGUUACUUGUUUAUUGUUAGACCAGUUAGAGUCGGUUACUUAGACUUUGGCUUGACAGAGCCUGAUUGAGCUCGACAGAGAUACGCUGCAUACUCAGUUGGGUAGCGCUCACGAGUGCCACUCCGGAGACGGCUUCGUGCUUUCGCGUUGGUGUCGCUCAUGCCGGUUGGACUUGCUCUUCAUGGACCAGUUAGUAUGGAGGUAGCUGGAUAGUCGCAACUGGGCAGGGACGGGUGUAUUCACAAUCCCAGGGACGGGUAUGUUUACAGUCCCGAUUGGAUUGGGUCAGAUUUCACAUUUCCUACAGUUGGUUAGUGUAGAGCAUGACAGUGUAGUGAUUUGUAGCGGUUGAGUUUAUUUCCUGCAUUUUCCUACUAUCCUGGCUCCCCUCUGUAGACUUAGUGGGUGGACCGAUGUUGUUUGGCGGCACCCACUGAGGACUAUUUGUUUUUAUAGUAGUUCUCACGCCCAGUUGUUAUCCCUGUUUUGCAGAGCCACAGGUUUCGGCUGCUGCGCCUUCCGCGGAUCAGGAUUGAGGCAAGGGCGUCGCGAGUUAGAGCCCUACCCGACGUACUGAGCUAGAGGUGCCCCUACUGCAGGUAGAUGUUUUGUUUCGAGUUUAUGUAUAUAGUAGACUUAACUCGCCAGUAUGAGUAGCUCGGUAUUUUGGAUUUGGACUAUGUAUAUGAAACUCAGUUUGUUUAGCUUCUGUUUUCACUACAACAAAACUAUGUUUUAGCGGCGAUUAUUUUUUAAAUUAGCGGCAAUUACAAUUACCGCUAAAAUGUUUUGUGGCAAUUUUAACAAUUGCCGCUAUUGGCAGGGUCGCUAAAAGUUUUAGCGAUAUUUAUUCCGGCGGUUGGUAAAAAUCUAAAUAAAUGCCGCUAAAUAUUAUACAAUAACGACUAUUAUAAAUACCGCUAAAUAGUAUGCAAUAACAACUAUUAUAAAUGCCGCUAAAUAAUAUACAAUAACAACUAUUAUAAAUGCUGCUACAAUUAAUUAUAAUUGCCGCAAAAAACAUACUAAAUGAUUGAUUAAUAAAGCUUAUAGCGGCAAUUAAAUUAAUAUUAAAAUACUUGAUUAACAACUAAAUACUACAAUGAAUUGAAAUAUUAAAAAAUAUUAGUAACCAAAAAGCAUUAAUAAUUUGUAUAACAAAUAGUCUCAACUCUCAAAUUACAAUCUCAGUAUUCAAAUUAAAUUUCGAACAUAAGUUCUAACAAAAAAUACUUGUUCAAAAUGUAGCAAAAAAAUAACAAACACCGCAUGUCUUGCUUCCCACUUCAAUUUUCGCAGCUGCAGUUGAUCUGGAUCAACCAAAAAGAAGUCAUAAAAUUAGUAUCUGAAAUUACCAAAUAAAAAUCAUCAUAUCAAAUUUCUGAAAAACAUAAAAGUUAGGUUGCACUGUUCAUCAACAAAUAAGAAGACAAUAGUUAACAAUAUAUAAAUACCAUAAAGCAUAUCCGCACAAUAAUUAAUAAUGUAAAAGACCAAGUUCUGAUUGAUGAUUAAUCCUAUUUGUGCUUGGUUGAGGAAUAAAGAUUGUUCCGCUAUGGGGGAUAGUAAUAACUGAUCACAAAGUCAAUUUACUGGAGAUAUAACUUGAGGUUAUCUGAUACAAUCUACUGGAGAAUUAACAAUGUAAAAGAUUUCAAAAUUCUCUGUUAUCUCCUAAGCAACAAUUAGCAUGUAUAAUCGAAAAGAAUAGCAAGCCAUAAAAGAAUAGCGAGCCAUACCGUUGAUUGUGCUUCAGCUGACAACUCACACACAACUCAGAUUUCCUCCUGAAAAGAUUUCAAAUUAGAGAAAACAUAAAUAUAUAAAACGGGUGCUUCAGCUGACAACUCACACACAACUCAGAUUUCCUCCUGAAAAGAUUUCAAAUUAGAGAAAACAUAAAUAUAUAAAACGGGUGCUUCAGCUGACAACUCACACACAACUCAGAUUUCCUCCUGAAAAGAUUUCAAAUUAGAGAAAACAUAAAUAUAUAAAACGCUUGAACAUCAUAUGGAGCAAAAUUUCUUUCAUAUCAUGCUGAAAAAAUAACAUCCAUAAAACAUAAUGCAAAACUUGUGCAGCCCUCAACAAAACUAACAAAUUGACACCCAUAAUUUAAAUAAGUCCAAGUAAUUAGAAACCAAACACUUCAUAACCGAGUUAUAGCAAAACUCGGGCAGUGAUCAUCUUUGCCAAACAAUGUUGUAAGUAUGUGAGCAUUCUUCCACAACAUAAUUUUGAGUCAAGAUGGCUUGGUUAUCCCUUGAUCAACAGUAGGAAGAACCAAAGGAAAAAUUAAAAUUAAGUACUGGCUCUAAAAUAAAUUUAGAGCAAUAAUGCACAUUGUCUAUUUGCAAGUUAAGCCCUUUUUUUUCCUGAUCAAAGUACUAAUAUAUUAUUGUUUGGAUAGAAUUAUUUAACAAAAUUCUACAAAACUCAAAAGAAUAAGUUUCAAAAUAGAACUUCUACUUUCGCUAAUGAUCAUCUCGAACGGUAAAAAAACCAUGAAUUUUGCAGAUAUAUGGGGUGAAGAAAUUGUUACAGAAACAAAGCCAGAUAAGCACUAAUGCCGCAAAGUGUGUACAAGAGAUUCAUGGAAUUAAUUGAAAAUCUCCAAUGGUAAUAAAUGUGAUUUAGAACCUAAUAAGCCAUAUAUAUGUUUGCAAGAAUUCGAAAAUUCUGAAACAAUUUAAAACUCUAAUUUUAAUAGAAUAAGUACUACAAGAGGCUAUAAUUAAUGUAGCAACUCAUUAAAGAUUAAGAUUAUGAAAGGCUAUACAGCUACGCAGUAAUAGAAAAGCAAAAAAAGAAAACUAAGAUUCAAAGAGAACGUUGCGAUAAUGAGGGGGAAAAAAAAAAGAAAAAAAAAAAACUAGCAUCAGAUCAUCAUCAUUGUUAAGAAACUUUUAGUCUAAUAUAAAUAUUUGAAGGAAAAAGAUGCUGGAGGGGAAAUUGUGUUUGAAAUAACCAUGCUUUUUGGAAGGAGUUUUUUUUUUUUUCCUCUUGCGUUCGCAUCGACUCAUUUUCCGCUUUGUUGCUCUUGCUUCACCCUGAACUCCGCCACGGCAUUUUCAAACGUCGUCGUCACGUGCUGGCACAUCACCAUUAAGUCCUGUAAUCCAUCUUUCAGCACAUCCUUUGCUGGAUCACCCAUUGGUCCAACCAAGUAUUACAAACAAGAAGAGAGAAACAACGGCCAGAAUAAUUUUAAAAAAGACGAAGAAGAAGAAGAAGAAGAAGAAGAAGAAGAAGAAGAAGAAACUUUUCUAACUGCAAUUUGAUUCUUCUUUCAAUUUAAUUAGAGAAAAACAAUAAUAUUCUGUAAUCAACAACUGAAGCACAGAUUGGGUAUUCUAAGGAAAACUGGCAUAAACUGGGCUCAGCUACUUGAGAAUAGCUUUUCUCCGUGCAGUUAUAUAUGAAGUAGGAAAGCCAUCGAAAUAUUUUAUCCGUCUUCGAGUCUCUGCGUAUCAUCUUGAAAUUCAAUAAAAAAAUGCAUUAGUUAGUCCUUGCACUUUUAGUGAAUCGCAACUUCGUCACUAAUCCUUACUAGUCAUCAGAGAUUGUCGUCUCUUCUCCUAGCAGAGGCUAAAGAUUAGACAAAUUGAAUCACACUGCAAGAAAUUGACCGAGUUUAGAGCAAAAUUCUGCUUAAGUGAAAGAUCAAGGACCGAAUUGCCAUUUGAGAAAAGUUUAGGGACUACCAAUACAUUCUACCAAUGUUAAGAGUGCAAGACCUUCUAAAGCUAUUGUUCGGCAUAUUAUCCCCAAUGUAUGGUUACUCCUAAUAGAAAGAGGAUGGUGGGUUGCCGCAGAAGCAGAAGCUUCAAAUUGGAGGUCCUGCUUUUAGAUCCUAGAAGCUCAUUUUAGCUUCCAACACAGACAAAACUCUGCACUUCUUUUCCGCUAAAAACCUUGAUUGUAAAAGAUUUUGCCUUCUGGAGUAAAGAAGCUAGCUCUAGAAGGCAAGCCAAACAAGCACUCAAUAAUAAUCAAUUACAACAGAUCGAUAGGUAUACUAAAAGUAAAACGAGCGCGAGCAGAACAGUUAAACUAAUCCCUUCGAAGAGCAUAUGAAUAUAUCAUGCCGCUUAACAAAGAUGUUCAUCCGAAUGACAAUAAUAAUGAUACAUUCAGAUAGAAAGUAUGGGCACAGCGCAUACUAGUCAGAAUCAAAAACUGAAAUCUACAAAAUAGAGAGAAAAGAAGGUGCAUUUAUAACCUGUAGUCUGAACUCUGAUGUUAACUUUAUUAUCGGAAGGAUGAGGGAUGCUAUAUCCGCAAAAUGCCACCCUUGGACUGCAAAAUUUGACAAAAAGGUGAAAAGAAGAGAGACAAGAAAACAUAAGAUCAAGAGUUCGUUGAGUUUUCUAAAUGUUGGGAUAAGCAAACACUAAAACUAAAAUAGGCAUAGGGAAAAACAAUUCAGUGGCGGAUAAUCAAAAGAGGAAAUGCUUGAACAUAAGAUGUUGCUUGAAGCUUGAAAGUAUAAGGUAGUAGGUAAGUUAGCUGUGCUUCAUAUCCAUGGAUUUACUGAAACAUUUUUUUAUUUUCUCCCUAUUUUAUUUGACAUGCAUCAUUGGAGAGCAAGCAUAAUUAAGCAAACGAACUUACUCUUGAUUCAGAACAAAUCUAACAGAGUUUGCUAACGUGUGGUCUUCAUCCAAUAUAGAAAAAGCAUAAGAGAAAUGAUUUUAGGACACUUCAUAAUCAAAGCUACCUCAUAAAGCUUCAAACUUGUAGACACAGCAAAAUUGAUAUAAGAAAUGCAAAGAAGAGAUAUUUACUAAGAUGAAAAUUGUCAGCAAUAAGUAAAUAGAAAAGAUGGAAAUUUGGUGCAAGAAAUACCUUUUUUACUCCAAGAUAACAACUAAAGUGAAACAAAGUUGAAAAUUUGGUGAAGAAGGAUCAAUGAUUGAACCAUCUGAUGAGGCUUGUCACUUUCUUUCAGGAACCCAUGUAUUUCAUUUAUCAUCUGAAGCCAAUUUCUAUGCAAGACACUUUGGUUACGAAUAUGAGGUACUAGGGCUUGAAGAUCAAUUUGUAAUCCAAGUACUUAAUUGGGGAGAUUAUGUGAUAGAGGCUUAAAGAUGAAUUUAUACAUGCAAGCAUCAACUAACUAACCUAAUAAAGGCUUUAAGGGCAUCAGAAGUUGAAAACAAAGUAAAAGCAUAUAGACCUCACCCCAAUUACAGCGCACUUUGGAAUGAGCACCUUAAUUUAAAAGUUGGAUUUUAUUACAAAGCCUUAGAGUAGGACUUGUUUAAGAUUCUAUCUUAUUCAAGGCCUCUUAGUCAGAAUUUGACAGUAUUUUUACCUUUUCUAAUGGAAGAUUCUUUAACCUACAAGAAUAUUCCGUUACUUGACAGAAUAUUCUGUUACUUUUUGACAGAAACUGUCAAGUUCUAACUUUGCUCGACCAAAUUUUCUGAAAUCAUUAGUGGAGUUUUAUGUAGUAAAAUUAAUACUUCUAAGCCGACCGUCUCUAGUGCAAGUGGCAAAGGGCUUGGUAGUUGGUACCCAAGGUCGCAAGUUUGAAUCCGAAUUGAUUCACAUUUCCAGCUAAGUUUAUUUCUAAAAAAAUAAACUAAGUGGGUAGCAUGCUACCUUUCUGUCUCAAAAAAAAAAAAUAAUAAUACUUCUAAAGUUUAGGCACCUAUUCAAAAUAUGCUGAAGUUCAGGUCAAGUUUGUACAUUUUGACUCAAAAAUAAAAAGUUCGUGGAUGUUGAAACAACUUGAAAACAUAGAAAACAAAUAUUGAUAGAAAACCUUUUGUAUGGACAAUCAAAAUAUAUGUGAAAUAAAGAUUAUGGACAAGAUUCUGGAGUUCCUUCUUUUACUUUUAUUGCCCCAGGAUAGAAGUUUUGAGAUGAUUAAUAAAAGUGUUGCCGGAAAUUUGUAAUACCUUAGCAGAAUAGAGAAUCACAUCCUCCUUGCUCAAUUUGAGACAAUGGCUGCCCCCAUAUGAGGCAAGAUUUAGAGCUGCACGUGGUUCUGCCUAACACAACAUUGAGCACACUAAAAUGCUACAAAACUUCUUAAGAGGAACUAGCAGGUAAAUAAAAUGAAAAGUUCUUGCACAACAGUAGAAUGUCUUACUUGUGAGCCAGUUGUAACAAUCAACAGAUCUUUCGGGGCAUAGGCAUCAAUAUCCUCUACUUUCACCUGCAAUAAUAAUUGAUCUUGGCAUAAUUAGUCAGCCGGAAUAAAAAAUUAGGGUAGGGUUUCACUAAAUAAGGAGCAAACUUUUCUGUCUCUGAUGUGUAAACCUAAAACUCUUUUAGAGUUUGCAAUUUUUCAUAGUGAAAAGACAUGGCACUGAAAAAACAUCUUAUACACAUCCCACUCUGUUUCAUGAAAAUAGCCAUUCUUCUCGGUAAAUGAUAAUAAAGAACAAGAUGGUAAGCUUGAAUUAGUAUGGAAAGCAAAAUUAUUGGCAGGUAAUGCAAGUUAUUUAGAUACGGAGCUAAUGAAUAUUUGAAGGAAGCAUAGGCACAUGCGCAUAUCAAAAAAAAUAAUAAUCAUCAUAAGUUGCCUCCUUCACCAAAUCCAUAGUCCUAAUUUACCUCAUAGAGUUUUAAGCUGCCUUAACAUUUGUCAUUUAAGAGGUAUCUAUAUGAUUACAAAAUUAACACAGCUCUUUCAUAUGACCAUGCAAUUAGUUGGGUGUGUUUCAUGGGAAUAAUUUGAGGCCUAGAAUAGAAAUACGAAUAAAUUAUUCCCAUUUUGAUUCCAAUUGCUGGCUACCGCCUUGCUGCCAUCGUUGCCUCUGCCACCACCACCAAUGCCGUUGUCCUGCUACUGGCUGUCAUCAUCAUUAUAAUCACGACUGCCAUCCCAAGGGCCAUAACAACCACAAUUGUUAUAACUAUCGCUGCCGCCACCACCAAUAUCUUGCCAUCACUACAAUUACCAUCCUCACCGCUAUUACCACCAUUCUCACUUGUAGCACCAUACCUUAGCAAACCAAAGAUGGACAUCAUUCAGGUCAGGCCCGUUCUCAACUAGUGUAAUUUUGCGGGCUAGGUCCGCAAUAUUCAAUACAUAUUCCAAAUCUGAGCCUGCUCCAAAUUGACCGGCUUGCAUAAGAAACCGGCUUGGGCCAAGUAAACAGAAGAAAGAAAAACUUGAGACUGACCCAGAUUUUCUCUGGCUUCAAAAUUUGAGGCCAUAUCAGGACUGAUGAAGCAAGCCAGCCUCAACCCAACUUGCAAACAAUUGUGAUGGUCUAACUCAAGGUUUAAAGUGCCGUGACACGGGGGCGUGCCGUUAUGUCCCUGGCACGGUACGGCACAGACACGCUUGUGUGCUGAUAGAUACGCAUGACCUCCUACUGGCAUGCUUUGGCACGGACUUAUUUUAGUUUUUUGGUUUCACUUUCAAUAACAUCAACAAAUUCAGACAGUAAGCCUUUUAGAAGCAAACUUGGACACAUUACAAACUGAUCAAAUAUUUCAACAUCAUCACAUAUAAUUAAUUAAUAUUUACUUUUUUUUUUACUUCAGAUUAGCAAUAUCAGAAAUCUAAUACUUUGAAAACACCAAGACAUUCAAUUCAGUUAAAACAUGAAAUUCGACUAAAACACCAACAUACUAGAAUGCUUACAUCUAAGGAGAAAUAAAAUAGUAAAUGGACAAAGCCAUUCAAGUCCGCUUAUAAUCUAAACGUGAUGGCUAUUUACUGAAAACAGUAGAUAUAAUAUGAUUCAAUCCCUGUUUACGUAAAAUCCCACUCACAUUUAGUUUUUGACCAGAGUCAGAGCUGUACUGCUGCUACAUAUGCCUCAUAAUAUUACUUUAUAUCUUACUAAUAUAUUAGUAAAUUUAUUUAACACUUUAAAUUACUUACGUGUAUAAUUCUAUUACAAACGGACCCUCAAUCAAUUAAUAGAGAACGAUUACACUGAAAAGUUUGACACUAUAAGGGAUCACAAAGACAUAUCAUUACAGUAGUAGAGCAAUUUACCAUGACAUUAGAUUAUUCACACAAAAUUUCUCAUUAAGAGCAGAUGAAAAGCUUCAAUAGCAUCAGACAAAUACAAACACACUAUAUGCAGUGUGUGUACAGAACAAAUAUAAGUUGCAAAUUCUCUGUUAUGCGCAAUCAAGUAUUGUUCUAAGAAUGCAGUAUGAAAUGGAACACGAAAACUUCGAACAAAUUCACUAGAACUGAAUUCGAUCUACUGAUACUUGGCAUUCUCAUUCUACAUCUUCACCACGAUAAUCACUACUACAUAUAUAUGAAUGCAAAGGAAGUAAAUAGAGAUAUAUGUAUGUAUAUAUGUAUGUACACUCUGCUUUGAAUCCUCAAGAUAGGGUGAUGAAGUGUUGCAGUGAACUGACCAAGCUUGGAGGCCAAUGCUUAGUCUCUUUAACAUACGACAGAUCGAUGUAGUGCGGAUCCAAUACAGUGGCUAUUAGGGCAAUAACCAGAACGAUUGCGGGAGAAACCAAACUACAAACGAAUUGAAGAGCUCAUCGUUUUAGAUACGGAUUUCGNUCUUUCUUUCUCUCUCUCUCUCUCUAUAUAUAUAUAUAUAGUAAAACAAAAAUAUUUUUGAUAGUAAAAAAAAUAGUGUUUGCUAUUAUUUUUUUUUUCCCAUUGAAUGUGUAGGAUGUAAACAUCUUUCAAAUUUUUUCUUUGUACACUCAAUCAUAUUUUUUAUAUUUAUUAUUUAUUUUAUUAUAUUUAUAUAAUUAAAAUAUGAUUAUUUAUUAUAUUAUUUUUAAAAUAUAUUCUAUCGCAUUGGUACUUUUAAUAACGAAAGAUUCGACUACAGAAAAUAAAAGAUCGAAAACCGAAUUUCUUUUUUCAAAAAGAAAUGCAUUGGGCCCUUUAUUGUGUGUUCCUCACUAUAUUGUGGAUGUGUUAGACAACAAAAUAAAUUUUUACGUGAAACUGAAUAGAAAUUAAAGAAUAAAAACCAAAAUAGUUUACUUUAAAUUAUAGAAAAAUUACUAUAUCAUAUGGAAGCUUUUGAAAAUUUACUUUUAAAACGUGAAGAUGAUUAUAAAAAUGUUGCCUUUCUUUUUAUAAGUCAGGACAAAUUUGUUGACCACAGUAGUAGUCGAAGCAAUGUUGAUGACUAAUUUGAAGAAUAAAAAAAAAAAAAAAAGCUUUUACUUGGCUCUAUAUCGUGACACAACAACAUCAUGCUCCACUUUAUAACUAAAUAUUAAGCUUAAUUACACUCUGAUACCUUAAACCUUUUCUUUCGCAAAUUUUAAUUUAUUAUAAUUUUUAAUUCGAAUUUAAAAAAUUAUAAUCAAAUUUACAAUUUAAUUUAGAUGACUGAAUAUUAAUAUGUCGUUAAUGUAGAAGUAAUGUGGCACGUUAACAUUUAAUCAGCGAAGUUUGGUUUGUGGACUUGAUUAUAAUAAAAUAAAAACUCGAGUGAGAAAUUAUAAUAAAUUAAAGUAUGAAAAUUGAGUGUGACACGCCUUUUGUAACUUAGCUAAAUAUUAAUAUUAAAAGCUUAAAAAGUUUUUUUAAAAAAAUUUAAGUAAUUAAAGAGACCAGCACAACUUCUAGAGGAGUGAGUCAGCUAAUCGAAAAUUCUAAAUGGGUAUAGUUGGAAGCUAAGAUGAGUGGGAAAAACUAUGCAAGAUUAUAUAAUUAGUUAAUUACAAAGUUAAAAUAAUAAUAAUAAAAAUGGUAGAUUUGGUAAUUAAAUUCGUGCUGAUAAGUUAAUACGCAGAUUAUCUGAGCGAAGAAAGAGAGUGUUAGACGUAAUUAAAAAUUAUUCUAUGGUUACGUAUUUGGGUCAAAUAAUCAAAUGUAAAUAAACUAAUAUAAUGACAUUAAUAUAUAAUGGGUAAAACAUACCGACAAAAUAUAUAUAUAGAUUAUUUCGCAUGAUUAUUUUUACUUAAAUUAAUAUUUGAUUGUACAUAAUUAGGGGCCGUUUGGCUAGAUGCAGUUGCAGAAAUAGUAUAAUUGAAAGUACAUGCAGUUAUAAAUACUGCAGUCGUAACUACACCAGGCUGUUUGGUUUUAUACAGUUGCAAUGGCUGCCGUUAUAUUUUUGGUAGACUUCAGUUGAGAUUUGUAUUUGUAAAUCCUGUCACUUUUAGAUAGAAAGGUAAAAUUAUCUCUUUUGAAUAUAAUAUAAUCAUGAGAUCCUUUAAUUAUUAAUUAAGACUUUUAUAUCUAUAUAUAAUUUACAUAUUAUAAAAUUAUGUAUGAAUUUAAUAAAUUUUAAAUAGAAAUAUAUUAUAAAUUUGAUUAAAAUAAAAAUUAAGAUAUUAUUGAAUGAGUAUAUUGGGAAAAAUAGAAGCGUAUGAAAAAAAUUUAUUGGACCACAACAGGCAUUAUUGAACCUUAGCAACUUUCGUGAAUAGGCAUUCUUGGGGAAAAAAAAGUAAAAAAAAAAAGCCUAUGAAAAAAAAAAUCACACUAUUUUCUCUUAAUAGGUGAGCUGAUUUCGGCAACUGCAGCCGUUGGGCUUUUUCAUGCAGAUACAACUACAGCAGUUGAGCCUAAUUAUAUUAAAUUAAAUAAAAAUUUAAUAGAUGUAUACAUUUUCAACUGCGCUGCAGGUGAAAAUGCAUGCAGCCAAACAACUCCUUAUUACUGCAUAAAAAUUCCUGCUAUAUACAAAUUUAAAAAUAGAAUUUGAGUUCAAGUGUUACAGUUGGAACUGUAUAUAUAGCAUUGAUAGUAAUAACAAUUAAUCAAAUUAUCUUACCUGCUACUCUCUUUCUUGGAUUCAAGAAAUGUAGAACCUUAAACCCAGGAGCUGCAAAAAAGAGAGAGAGAGAGAGAGAGAGAGAGAGAGUGAUAAGUUGAGAAGAGAGAGAAAAUGUUAAGGGAAAGUUAGAGGAGAAGGUGUAGAGUUAGAGGGGGUAUUUAUAGUGGCGGAGCAUAACGGAAUCUGUAUACGGAAUAUUACUGCGCCGUCAUUUUCGUCGGGGUCCACCGGUCAACGCUGUUUGACGGCGUUAGCAUGUAACGUACUACCCGGGCACACGACGCGCCACCUCAAACGCGCGCAGUUGUUCCGUUCCCACGAGCAUAUUUGUUUCAAACCAAAUUAUCAAACUAAACAAAUUUAUAUUUUAUACCGAACCAUCCCUAUUGCAAAUAGCAAAAGAUUUAAUAGUUGAUACCCGAAAUUUUAAAUUUGAAUAUUAAUUGAUUCAUAUUUUUAACUAAGUUUAUUUUUAAAUAAAGUAAACGAAACGGGUAGCGUGCUACCUAUCUCUCAAAAUUUUUUUUAAUAUAUUUAAAAAGUAUGAGUUAGAUCCUAUAUUUUCAAAAGUACGGCGAACUCCGUACUUGUAAGUUAUUUUUGAUGAUGCGACGUUCGAUUCGGAGAUCGAUUCAACUAGACAUGAUUUACACUAUUAAAACUAUCUAGAAAUCAAAUUUUAUAAUUAUUUUACUUUAUUUGGCUAGUAAAUGAGUAGCUUUAGAAUGAACGACUGAAAAUAAAAAUUUCAUAAAAGACUGAAAUUUUAAAUCAGAAAUAUUAAUUCCGCUAUUGAUGUUAAGUAAAAUUUUUUAUUAAAGUUUCAUAUAAUUUUGAUUGUUCUACGCCGUUGAACUUAAAAAUGUACCAUAUUGACUGUUAAAAUAGUUAUUUUUGAGAUCUUUUUGAUCACUUAGUAAACUAUAUCAAAAAAUUAUGAAAUUUGGUUGAUAGAUAAUUCCAAUAGCGUAGAUUAUGCCUAACGGAGCUAAUCGUCAAAUCAAAUAUUUUAUCAUCGAAAACAACUUACAAAUAUGGAGACCUCCCUACUUUCAAAAACACAAGAGACAUACUCUAACAAGUAUUAUUAUAAUUAUAAAAAAUUAGUUUUUAAAAAAAUUAUUAUAAAUUAUGCGAUGAAUAAUUCACCGCUUAAAUUUAAUUUUAUAAUCAGCUCGUACUCGACG